GUGUUGUUGAACGAUAUGGGAGUUCAUGACCUUUGACCAAUUCACACGGGGAUUUUCUGUAUUUUACCCUUUUAGUAGCCAUUCCCCGAAAUAGAAUCCUUUGAUCAUCAAGACCUGAAGCAGCCGCUAAUCAACCAUGGCUGCUACCAUCCUAGCCGAUGAUGAUGAUGAUGACAUAAACCCCUUCACAUCCAUAAUGCUGCUCGCCCCUACAUGCCAACCACCAAAACCAGAAUCAGAAGAAGACCACCAGAAUCAGAGCCCAUUAUCAUCAUCCAAAGCUGGAAUAACUAGUCAACAACUUCUUGACCAAAAUAACUACUACCUCCACUCUGUCAACUCCCACCUACUCAUCAGACAACUCCCUUCUCAAGGCCUCUCUUUUCAGCUCUGGCCUGCUGCAACCACUCUCGUCACCCUCCUUGAUACCCACUCCUCUCAAUCCACCAUCCCCAACCCACUUUCCACCUUAUUUAAAGCCCAAGAAGACCGUCCCCUCAACAUCCUGGAGCUGGGCUCUGGCACCGGUCUUGUUGGGAUUGCAGCUGCUGCUCUUCUCUCUGCUAAUGUCACUGUCACAGACCUCCCUCAUGUGCUAUGCAAUCUGCAUUUCAAUGUGGAGGCUAACUCCAAACUUCUUCAAGUCAACCAAGGUGCAAAAGUUAACAUAGCGGGGCUUUCCUGGGGAGUGGAUGAAGACAUGAAAGCUGUUGGGAAGGAGUAUGAUUUGAUACUGGGGUCUGAUGUAGUGUAUCAUGAUCACCUCUACAAGCCCUUGAUUAAGACCCUGAGGUUCUUCUUGUUGGGGAAUGAUGACGGCAGCAAGAAGAAAAGGGUUGCCUUUGUGAUGGCUCAUUUAAAGAGGUGGAAGAAGGAGUCUGCAUUUUUCAAGAUGGCUAGGAAGCUUUUCGAUGUUGACAUUAUACAUUCUGAUCCUCCUUCCCAUGGCGCUAGAGUUGGAGUAGUAGUGUACCGAAUGGUGGGGAAAUGUUUUCUCAGCGUCAAUUCUGUCCCUAGCUAAAUAUUUGAGCGAGGAAUUGAAGAGAACAUUCUUGAAAUUUUGAGAAAAUCUAGAAGUUUGUCAUGCAUCAAAAACUUUCCAGGGAAGAUUUUAAUAUCUUUGUUAAUGUAUUUUACUAAAUUGCAAUCACCAGGGUUUGAGUUCACUAACUUGUCCUUGAUCAAUUAGCGUCUCAGCAUAAACUUGAGCAGAAAUAAAACUUGCUUAACUAGAAUGUUGAAUGUUAUUAUUGUAAAACAAAUAGUUAGCACUUCUACCCGACCUCGUGACCAGAUCGUAUCAUGCCCUUAGCAAAACAAUGCACUCAAGAUUCAAAUACUGCAGUAUAACGCCAGAGAAUAUCGUUUUCCCAGGUACAAAUUUCUAUGAACAUUUGUCUGGCUAAAGCUUUCCAUGUUCUCUGAAUCCCAAGACGGAUGAAAGCGCACAAUUAAGACACCUAGAGGUUUGGAAGAGGAGCAGGAACAAUCAAUCGUUCUUGACAGUUCACGGUCAUGAUUUGGUCAAAAAAAUUUGUACGGUCCAGAUUUUAUCUUGUAUCUCAUUUUUAACAAUAUCUGUGGGACCUACAAAAAUUUAUUUUAGAAUUACACGUUGUUAAAAAUAAGUUACACGAUGUGCAAACAGAAUUACGCCGUGUACAAAAUGCACAUAACCUUCAGGAACGGUUGCUGUGAGGACUCGCAAAUUUCUUAUAUUUUUCUCAAAAAUGCCUUUUUAUUUAGAAAUUAUUCAUUUAUUAUAGCCCUACUACCUAAUCAUUCCCCAAUAAGUGCAAAUGAAUCUAGAAAGUAGGGUUUCACUUUUCGUUUUCAGUUGGAGCAAGUUAGGGUUUUCGCGAUUUUCCGAAGGAUGAUUUUUCGGUACGGAGCAAGGAUUCAAAUUUGGUGAUUAAGAGUGACUUUUAGGUGAGAAAUAAUAUGUGAUUAGGAACCAUGAUAAAAAGUUAGUGAUUGGGAAGAAAAAAUCCUAGUACGUGUGAUUUAAGAAAAAACGGUGCGAACCGACGUGUACCGCGCACUACCGAUUGAACGCACCACUGGACCACAACUUUCUUACCACGUGAGCUCAUUGAUAUUUGAGCAAAAUAACCCCUCAUUUCCAGCUGCCUUUGACCGAAAUUUGUGGCCACAAAUGCAAGGGAGAGAGAGAAAAAUUUGCAUGGCUUUGGUGGUGCCAAGUGUCACCACCUCAUGGCUCCUUGAUUAAUUUUUUUUUUCUUGCCUUUUUAUCCUUCAUUUCAGCCAUCUUUCUUCUUCAUUUUUUUCUGGUCUUGGCCGAGAGAGAGAGAGAGAGAAAACCCAAGAGAGAGUUCACCAUUUUUUCUUGAAAUCUAGUCACCAAGUGAGGAAACAAAGAAAGUAAACCGAUUAAAGUUAUCUUUGAGUGUUGGUUUAGUGAGGUGUUGGUGAAUUUUUGAAGGGGAAAGCUAGGGUUGCUCUUGGUAGACACUAAGCAAGGUAAGGAUGAUGAUUUUUCCAAUUCUUACUCUUAAUAUUGUUUAAAUUAGCUUAGUGGUGAAUAAUGGUUGUUAUCAUGUCUUGGGUGUUGUUUUUCCUUGUGGAUACAUGAAUUAGGGUUUGAUGAAUUGCUGCCAAACUUGAUGUAUGGUUAAUAUAUGUUGUAUCCAAGAUUGUAUAGGGGGCUUUGGUAGCAAGUGAAGCAAGAAAUGAAGAAAGUAACCAAAAAUUCCAGAUUUCUGGAAAAAAUUUCACCCUGUUCUGUCCGGUUCCAGUUUGUAUGGUUAGAGGCCGAAUUAGGCUUGUCAUAAAACAUGAAAGUUGUAGAGAAUAGUAUUUUAUAGUUGCCUACAAAAUUUCAGCUCAAUCAGAGCAACGUAGCCUGUGAAAAGACCAAAAUACCCUCGCUGCCCUAGAUUACAUUUCAGUGUUCCGCGUAGACAGUUCAGUCUUUUGGCUGUGUUUAUUCGCCAUAAUCCGUACGAAUUUAUCCAUUUUCCAAAACAUGAAAGUUUUAGUACUCUGUUUUAGCUUUUUAACGCCACCAAGAACACCUUAAACGGAUCUUGGUAGACUGAGAUAUGGCCAUUUGAAUGCAGUACGGUUAAAUAGCCGAUUAGUUGGAAUUAGGUUAUGUGAAUUGGGUAUUUGAUUAGGUUACACUGGAAAUUGGACUAAGUGAUCUUCAUGAACAUUGGAACCCUGUGUCUUAGCUUCGAAAGGGUACAAGUUGCACCUCAAUCCGAUAACUGUAGCCUCGGAUGUGCCCAUUCCGCAAGAGCCCGUCAAAACUGUCUUUUGUAAACUUCAUUUCCGCACUCGAUAUUAGCUUAAUUUUUGUUCUUGUCUUGUUUUGAGCCUACGGAAUGGCUAUUGAAAUAAAAUUGUGUUAUGGAUAACCUUGGAUUUGAUUGAGUAAGCAUGAAGCCAUAAAUGGCUGGAAAAUAGGAAAAUACAAAGGGCAUGCUGCCUAAAUUUUCGCUCGAGUACUAAGUUUCUAUUUGAACUGGUAUACUUACGUUUGGUCUAUGAAACCCUAGUCAUUUUUGUACACCGGUCCAAAUGUCCUCGUUUCACUUUAAAGUCUUUUUGUACGUUCUACUCAAUAAUUGUCGAGUUUCUUUGAUUGCACCUAAUUGUUGUGCUAGAUGAUCUGUAAUAUUCUUUCUCGUUUAAUUUAGGUUUUCUCGGUGACUGAGGAUAAUAUCCGGAAGGAUAUUUUACCCGUUGUUUUGCUUACAUAGGUGAGUGUUCCUUGUUUGCUAUAUUUUUCUUGACUUCAUGACUUGUGUUCUUGUUUGAUAAUGUGUUAAGUGCUUUCAAGGAUUUCCAAAACGAGUUUUCUAGGCGAACGUGUACUUUACCGCACUCGAGCAAAAUGAAACAUGAAAUUUUCAAUGAUUAAAUGUUGAAAUACUAGUUGCGCAUGAAUGUAAGCCUUUUUGGCUGAACUGGGCCCUUGCCCUUGUUGCCGAUCGACUCGAGCCAGAAGCGGACUCGGUCGGGCGAUUUGGUGACCUGGGUGAACGUUUGGUAUACUCGAGUAUUACCUUGUAGUCCGGCCACGUCCGGAUGGGUGGAGUCCGGUCAACGUCCGGAAGGGGAUGAAUGAACGAACGAAAGCACGAGGGUUUUACUUCCCAAAAAGGAAAUUUUCAAAUAAUUGGAGGAAUAAGGGAAAAUGUCAGGGGAACGAACGAACGAACGAAUAGUUCCAUGUGAGCUCGUAUCCUUUUAAUGAAUGUGUUACUAUCGCUUUCCAUUGUAAAAAUUUCUUGAAUUAUUGAUACUCCAUGUUUAACGUAUUGAAUUGACUAUCUGACUAUGUGUUCGGAACCUCACUGAGCUUUUAGCUCACCCCUUUAGUUUUGUUUUCCUUAACAGGGGACGGCGAGCAGGAUGAGAGCAUAGACUAGCCUAGUCUAGUUCUUUUGUUAUUCUUUGUAAUGGUUCUCGCCCUAGUGCUUGGCACGGGCUGGACGUAUGAAGGAUUGAGAACCUUUGUAUAUUCGAUCUUUAUACUCUCUUUUGGGAUGACAAUAUAUAUAAGUUCCGCUUUAAGUUUGGAUCGCUGCCCUAUUUAUUCUUGUGAUUUAUUCCGAUUUUAAUUGAGGACUGUAGUGAACGACUGAGUCCUGGCGAGAGCUGGGCAGGCGACCCGCCGAACCCUGGGGUACGCCCUAAGGGGAGGUGGGGCCGUCACAGUUGGUAUCAGAGCUUAGGUUUCAGAUCUCUGUAGUGUAUCCUAGGCUUGAAGUUUAGGAUGCCGGACUGUGGGAUUCGAUUUGACCUGAAAGUUAAGCGAUUGAGGGAGAAAACCUAUAGUUGCUUCGCGUGGUCUCUGCGCGGAGUGACCCUGGACUAAGUGGUGAAUAAGUAUGAGGGACUAAGUGAAGCUAUGAAUUGCGAAUGUUAUAGGCCUUAAAUAUUUCUCAUGGUAUCUGAGGACCAUAGAUAGGUAUGUCAGGCAGGAAUUCCGAUUGUAGAUUGUUUACUCUUGGGACUGCAGCUCCAGAUGUGAAUUAUCUUAUUUCGAAUUCUCGUGCCUGAGUACUCUAGAGUUGCGGCGCUGCUAAGGAUUUGAGACUUGCAUUUUGGGAACAUGAACAGGCUUUGUCUGACUAGAAUGAGCACAAGAGGUCAGGGACAUCUAGUUUGGAUAGUAAGUGACGUGAGAGACCGGACGGGCUGAUACUGGGACGACUUCACCUUUUCCUUUUGAUUUACCUGUAUAUUGUUACUACAUGACGUUAGUAUACCUGUGCGUACAUGGUUAUCUGUCCAACUUGAUAUGUAUUUGUGUAUUUGCUUAUCCGUCUUCUUGAUAUGGCGUGUUAUGUGCGUAUAUGUUUAUUUUUGUAUUUGGAAUGCUAGAAUUUGUUACUGUAGUCAAUUUACUGUGUUUAUUUACUUAAUUACCUUUUGGGGAAAAAGAAAAGAAAAGAGAGAGGGAAAACAUAUAUAUGGAUGGGAGGCGUAGUCGUGGACGUGGAGCUAGUCGUGGCCGUGGAGCUAGGCAAGCUCAAGAACCGAGAGAAGAAAGAGAAACAGUGGCCGAGCAAGAACAGGGACCGAGGGUUGAGGCUGGAGAUCAAAUGGCGACGGCGAUGAAACAAAUGACAAAUAUCCUGGCACGAAUGGUAGAUCAACAGGGUCAAAUGCCAGUGAAUCAACCCUGGAAUCCCGAGAUCGGAGAGGAUAAGGCUCUUGAGAGGUUCCAAAAGUUUCUACCUCCGAAAUUUCAAGGAGGGCCUGAUCCGGAUAUAGCUGAGCAGUAGUUGGAGGCAAUGAUUAAUAUCUUCGCGGCUUUGAAUUACACGGAGUAAAGAAAAGUAAAUUUUGCUGUAUUUCAAUUCGAAGGACCAGCCCGCGCGUGGUGGAAUGUAAUUAAGGCCAAGUGGGAAAGAGAACAGACGGUAUGGACAUGGGCGAACUUUGUAAGGGAAUUUAACGAAAAGUAUCUCCCACCUUUAGCCCAAGAAAGGAGAGAGGACGAAUUUAUUGGGUUGCGUCAGGGAACCCUAAGUGUGGCCGAAUAUGAGACCAAAUUUACUAGACUGUCUAAAUUCGCUUCUGAAUUGGUGGUUACAGAGCGACGGAGAAUAAGACGAUUUAUACAAGGACUAAAUUUGAAAAUCCAGGAGGCAUUACCGGCAGUUCAAGUUAAUACGUUUACAGAGGCUCUUGAGAAGGUCCAAAGAAUUGAGGAUGUGAAAGCCCAAGUAAAAGCCUUUCAAACGCGGAAAAGAGAUACAUCCAGCAGUAUACCUGAGGAAUCCAGAGAAAAGAUAACGCUCUCCAAAGUGCAAAAAGUUAACCAUUCACCCCGCCCACCUUGGACCUUAAGAGUAUUAGAUGAAAGGUCCAUGAAAGGAAGUCAGAUCGGAUCAAAGGACAUUUCUCGAGAAGAUCCAACAGUAGCUCCUCGAUUGGCCUGUGGAUACUGUGGAAAGGCAAAUCACACUGAGAAUGAUUGCUGGCGGAAAGGGGGAAAAUGUUUGAUUUGUGGGAGUAGCAAUCAUCAACUUAGCAAUUGCCCGAAGAAACAGCCACGAGAGGGUAGUACUCAACAAGUGGAAGGAACCAAACUGAAACAAAUUCAUGAAAGAGGAAACCGAACAAAAGUAUCAACACAAGUUUAUGCUGUAGAUCAGCACCGAGUUCUGGGGUCCUCCGAGGCGACGAAAGGUAUGAAUUACGAGGUCGAAAUUCUUUUAAGGGGGAGAGAGUGUGAGGACUCGCAAAUUUCUCAUAUGUUUCUCAAAAAUGCCUUUUUAUUUAGAAAUUAUUCAUUUAUUAUAGCCCUACUACCCAAUCAUUCCCCAAUAAGUGCAAAUGAACCUAGAAAGUAGGGUUUCACUUUUCGUUUUCAGUUGGAGCAAGUUAGGGUUUUCGCGAUUUUUCGAAGGAUGAUUUUUCGGUACGGAGCAAGGAUUUAAAUUUGGUGAUUGAAAGUGACUUUAAGGUGAGAAAUAAUAUGUGAUUAAGAACCAUGACAAAAAGUUAGUGAUUGGGAAGAAAAAACCCUAGUACGUGUGAUUUAAGGAAAAACGGUGCGAACCGACGUGUACCGCGCACUACCGAUUGAACGCACCACUGGACCACAACUUUCUUACCACAUGAGCUCAUUGAUAUUUGAGCAAAAUAUCCCCUCAUUUCCAGCUGCCUUUGACCAAAAUUUGUGGCCAAAAAUGCAAGGGAGAGAGAGAAAAAUUUGCAUGGCUUUGGUGGUGCCAAGUGUCACCACCUCAUGGCUCCUUGAUUAAUUUUUUUUCUUGCCUUUUUAUCCUUCGUUUCAGCCAUCUUUCUUCUUCAUUUUUUUCUGGUCUUGGCCGAGAGAGAGAGAGAGAAAAAACCCAAGAGAGAGUUCACCAUUUUUUCUUGAAAUCUAGUCACCAAGUGAGGAAACAAAGAAAGUAAACCGAUUAAAGUUAUCUUUGAGUGUUGGUUUAGUGAGGUGUUGGUGAAUUUUUGAAAGGGAAAGCUAGGGUUGCUCUUGGUAGACACUAAGCAAGGUAAGGAUGAUGAUUUUCCCAAUUCUUACUCUUAAUCUUGUUUAAAUUAGCUUAGCAUCUCAAAUUUGUGGUGAAUAAUGAUUGUUAUCAUGUCUUGGGUGUUGUUUUUCCUUGUGGAUACAUGAAUUAGGGUUUGAUGAAUUGCUGCCAAACUUGAUGUAUGGUUAAUAUAUAUUGUAUCCAAGAUUGUAUAGGGGGCUUUGGUAGCAAGUGAAGCAAGAAAUGAAGAAAGUUAUCAUUGAAACAAAAAAUUCCAGAUUUCUGGAAAAAAUUUCACCCUGUUCUGUCCGGUUCCAGUUCGUGUGGUUAGAGGCCGAAUUAGGCUUUUCAUAAAACAUGAAAGUUGUAUAGAAUAGUAUUUUAUAGUUGCCUACAAAAUUUUAGCUCAAUCGGAGCAAUGUAACCUGUGAAAAGACCAAAAUACCCUCGCUGCCCUAGAUUACAUUUCAGUGUUCCGCGUAGACAGUUCAGUCUUUUGGCUGUGUUUAUUCGCCAUAAUCCGUACGAAUUUAGCCAUUUUCCAAAACAUGAAAGUUUUAGUACUCUGUUUUAGCUUUAUAAUUCCACCAAGAACACCUUAAACGGAUCUUGGUAGACUGAGAUAUGGCCAUUUGAAUGCAGUACGGUUAAAUAGCCGAUUAGUUGGAAUUAGGUUAUGUGAAUUGGGAAUUUGAUUAGGUUACACUGGAAAUUGGACUAAGUGAUCUUCACGAACAUUGGAUCCCUGUGUCUUAGCUUCGAAAGGGUAUAAGUUUCACCUCAAUCCGAUAAGUGUAGCCUCGGAUGUGCCCAUUCCGCAAGAGCCCGUCAAAACUGUCUUUUGUAAACUUCAUUUCCGCACUCGAUAUUAGCUUAAUUUUUGUUCUUGUCUUGUUUUGAGCCUACGGAAUGGCUAUUGAAAUAAAAUUGUGUUAUGGAUAACCUUGGGUUUGAUUGAGUAAGGAUGAAGCCAUAAAUGGCUGGAAAAUAGGAAAAUACAAAGGGCAUGCUGCCCAAAUUUUUGCUCGAGGACUAAGUUUCUAUUUGAACUGGUAUACUUACGUUUGGUCUAUGAAACCCUAGUUAUUUUUGUCCACGGGUCCAAAUGUGCUCGUUUCACUUUAAAGUCUUUUUGUACGUUCUACUCAAUAAUUGUCGAGUUUCUUUGAUUGCACCUAAUUGUUGUGCUAGAUGAUCUGUACUAUUCUUUCUCGUUUAAUUUAGGUUUUCUCGGUGACUGAGGAUAAUAUCCGGAAGGAUAUUUUACCCGUUGUUUUGCGUACAUAGGUGAGUGUUCCUUGUUUGCUAUAUUUUUCUUGACUUCAUGACUUGUGUUCUUGUUUGAUAAUGUGUUAAGUGCUUUCAAGGAUUUUCAAAAUGAGUUUUCUAGGCUAGCGUGUACUUUACUGCGCUCGAGCUAAAUGAAACAUGAAAUUUUCAAUGAUUAAAUGUUGAAAUACUAGUUGCGCAUGAAUGUAAGCCUUUUUGGCUGAACUGGGCCCUUGCCCUUGUUGCCGAUCGACUCGAGCCAGAAGCGGACUCGGUCGGGCGAUUUGGUGACCUGGGUGAACGUUUGGUAUACUUGAGUAUUACCUUGUAGUCCGGCCACGUCCGGAUGGGUGGAGUCCGGCCAACGUCCGGAUGGGUGGAGUCCGGUCAACGUCCGGAAGGGGAUGAAUGAACGAACGAAAGCACGAGGGUUUUACUUCUCAAAAAGGAAAUUUUCAAAUAAUUGGAGGAAUAAGGGAAAAUGUCAGGGGAACGAACGAACGAACGAAUAGCUCCAUAUGAGCUCGUAUCCUUUUAAUGAAUGUGUUACUAUCGCUUUCCAUUGUAAAAAUUUCUUGAAUUAUUGAUACUCCAUGUUUAACGUAUUGAAUUGACUAUCUGACUAUGUGUUCGGAACCUCACUGAGCUUUUAGCUCACCCCUUUAGUUUUGUUUUCCUUAACAGGGGACGGCGAGCAGAAUGAGAGCAUAGACUAGCCUAGUCUAGUUCUUUUGUUAUUCUUUGUAAUGGUUCUCGCCCUAGUGCUUGGCACGGGCUGGACGUUUGAAGGAUUGAGAACCUUUGUAUAUUCGAUCUUUAUACUCCCUUUUGGGAUGACAAUAUAUAUACGUUUCGCUUUAAGUGUGGAUCGCUGCCCUAUUUAUUCUUGUGAUUUAUUCCGAUUUUAAUUGAGGAUUGUAGUGAACGACUGAGUCCCGGCGAGAGCUGGGCAGGCGAUCCGCCGAACCCUGGGGUACGCCCUAGGGGGAGGUGGGGUCGUCACAGUUGCUCCUGCAACGGUUCCUGCCCUCGGUCCCUAGAGGUUUACACUGGUCAGUAGAGCCAACCCGCUAAAAAAAAAAAAGAAAAAAAAUCUUGUGCCAAUGAUAUUUAUCCAAGACAGUGCAUGCAGCUCAAUCAAGCAUUUGGAUGCGAGAGGCAAUAUCUUGGACCAACCAAUCAAAUCCGUCAUGUAAUCCCUCUCCAGUGUAUGCACUACAUCCAACAAUUCUCCAGCGUCGACUUUUCUCCAUGGCUUCUAAAUUGGGUACCUAUUCUAGCAAAAAGGAGCCUGAUCUCAUGGCCUUCAACCUAUUUCAUCUGAAGAGAGAGAAAACAUUGUAUAUCCUGCAUGUUAGCAAAAAUCAACAUUGAUGCUCCUGACACCUCUGUCAUUUCACAUCAAGAAAGUAAAGUGGAGAGAGAGAGAGAGAGAUAUUGUUACAAAUGCAAAAAACUCAAAAACAACCUAAACAUUUUUUUUAAAAUAUGGAAAACUAAGGCUGUUUUAUGGACCAGUGACAUUAGACUCCAUUGUUCGCAUAGGAUUUUAAUGGGUAUACAUAGGGAAAGGGACAAACUUGACUUUCCCAUUUUUUGUUUGGUAACUAAGAAAUGAGAUAAUCAAAUUGAUAUGCCCAUGUACCAAAUGGAGAGAAACUAUUAAGAUUGUGAAACUAGGACUUGAAGGCUAUGAGGCCACCAUGGAAUGGCACUUUGUGUCUUCUACUUCAAUAUGAAUGUUUAGGUCUUAGGGACAGCCCCUAAUUUGUCAAGAUCCUGGCUUCAGCAUUAGGGAUUUAACACUCGAAUUUGGGAAAAAUCAGAGUACGGACGAAGAGAGAGAGAGCGAGAGAGAAAAGAAGUAGAAAGAGAGAGUAAGAAUUAGAGAGAAAAAGAAUGAAAUUCUGUUAUUGUUCGUGCAUGUGAAUUCUGCCAAUCGAUCCCAUACAAAUAAGAAUGGCUAAUCGACUUUAACUAAUUCCAACUGAAUCUGUUAUGCAUGGGAACGACACCGUUCCACUUAUUCUAAUUUCUACUGAUUUAUUUGGUCGUAAAACGACACCGUUCCACUUAUUCUGCUUCCUACUGAUUUGUUUGAUUAGUUACAUAAAACGACACCGAAUGCUGACUUAAUUUCUUCAUCCUGACAUUGCCCUCCCCUUUUAACAGUCUUGUCCUCAAGAAUGAAACCAAGGAAAUUGUGCUUGUAUGAAGUCCUUAUCUUCCCAUGAAGCUUCUUCCUUAUCCAGCUGGUACCAUUUGAUCAAGUAUUGUAUCACUGACUGUCCAUUCCGCAUGAUCACUCUCCUCUAUAAAAUGGAUUCUGGUUGUAGAGGACACUGGUCAUCAUUGUCAAUCUCAGGCAGGGUAGCUGAAAUGGGCUGUAGAGGUCUAAUUUUCUUUUUAAGCAACAAAACAUGGAAUACUGGAUGAAUCCUUACCCCAGUAGGUAAUGUGAGACGAUAGGCAACUGGCCCUACUUUGGCUUCGACCUGGAAGGGACCAUAGAACCUUGCAAACAGUUUGAGGCACUUCCUGAUAGCCACUGAUUGCUAUUUAUAAGGUUGCAGUUUCAGGAAGACCCAAUCACCAACCUCAAAAGUUCUUUCAGUGCGUUUUUGGUCAGCGAAAAACUUCAUCCUUUGUUGUGCCUUUAUUAGGUGAUCUUUGAUUCUGCUAGAGAUCCUCAAUCUCUCCUGGAGUAAUUGGGAAACUGCUGGUAUGAUUGUGUCAAAAUGAGGUCCUAAAGGCAAGGGAAUAGGCUGGUAUCCAUAUAAGGCUUCGAUUGGAGUCAUUUGUAGACUGGAGUGACAAGAGGAGUUAUACCACCACUCUGCCGGUGCUAGCCACCUGCUUUAGUUAUGGGGAAAUUCCCUAGUCAUGCAUCUUAGGCAAGCUUCGACACAUUGGUUGAGUCAUUCACUUUGUUCAUCUGAUUGGGAGUGGUAGGCAGAGCUGUAACUCAACUCUAUCCCUAAUAGCUUGAAGAGCUCCUGCCAGAAAGUACUUAUGAAUAUCCUGUCUCUGUCAGACACUAUGGAUUCUGGGAGGCCAUGCAAUCUGAAUAUGUGAUCCAGGAAAAGUUGAGCCACUUGCUUGGCAGUGAAUGGAUGACCUAAGGCAAGGAAAUGCCCUACCUUGGUGAAUCUGUCAAUUACCACCAUCACUGUAUCGUAGCCUUAUGAUUCUGGUAGACUCUCUAUGAAGUCCAUAGUCACAUGAGUCCAAACCAGGCAGGGAACAGGUAAUGGUUGUAAUAGGCCAGGGUAGUGUACAUGCUCAGAUUUGAACCUCUGACAUGUAUCACAGGCUUGAAUGAUUCUGAUGACAUCCUGCUUCAUAGUAGGCCAAUAGAAUAAAGUUUUUAGCCUUUGCCAGCAGCCUCUUUGUCCUGAGUGACCCCCAACUGCUGAUGCAUGGAGUGUUUGGAUGAGCUUAUCCCUCAAUCCACUGGUUGAGCCUACAUAAAGUUUGCCAUUGUACUUCAGUAAUCCUUUGUCCCACUCAAAUUGUUGGUGAGCCGCAGGGUCCAGCAGUAGUUGAGAAAUAAUGUCCUGGCACUGAGGGUCUAAGUCAUAGCUCUUCUGGAGUUCUUUAUCCAUAGUGGCUUGACAGUAGAAAGGGCCAAACAGGAUCCUUGUUGAGCUGAUUAUUCCUGAUUUACCCCAUGUAGUCUUGACAGUGCAUCUGCUACUUUGUUUUCUGCUCCCUUUUUGUACUGAAUUUCAUAGUCCAGCCCCAGUAAUUUAGCUAACCAUUUGUGUUGUAAUGUAGUGGUGAGUUUCUGAUCUAACAAGUACUUCAGAGAUUGGUGAUCUGUCUUAAUAACAAAAUGAUGUCCUACCAGUAAUGCCUCCACUUGGUCACUGCCAUUACUAGUGCUAGCAGUUCUUUCUCAUAAGCUGACAGCCUCAAAUUCCUAGGUGACAAGGCCUUGCUUAGGAAUGCAAUGGGGAUGGCCUUCUUGCAUUAGUACUGCACCAAUUCCACUUCCACUAGCAUCAGUUUCAAUAGUGAAGUGUUUCUGGAAGUUUGGCAGUUUAAGAACUGGAGCAGUGCUUAUAAUAUGUUUUAGUGAUGUAAAAGCCUUCUGUGCUUCAUUACUCCAAUAGAAAUUGUCCUUCUUAAGCAGCUCAGUAAGAGGUUUACAGAUGAUUCCAUAAUGCUUGAUAAACCUCCUGUAGUAACCAGUUAACCCCAGAAAAUCUCUCAACUCUUUAAUUGUACUAGGAACAGGCCAGUUCAUGAUGCUUUCAACCUUGGACUGAUCCAUGUACACUCCAUUCUCAGAUAUGGUAUGACCAAGAUAGUCCACAGUUUGUUGUGCAAAUGAGCAUUUAGAUCUCUUAGCAAAUAGUUUGUGUUCCCUUAAGACAACCAGCACUGUUCUCAAAUGAUCUAGGUGUGAUUCUAACGUGGGGCUGUAUAUUAAGAUGUCAUCAAAGAAAACCAACACGAACUUCCUUAAGUAAGGUUGAAAUACUUGAUUCAUAAGAGCCUGAAAGGUUGCUAGUGCGUUGGUCAGCCCAAAGGGCAUUACUAGAAAUUCAUAAUGGCCACAAUGAGUUUGGAAAACAGUUUUGUAAGUGUCCUUGGGUUUGACUCUGAUAUAAUAGUAGCCAGAAGUGAGAUCCAGUUUGGUUUUGUACCUUGAUCCUGCCAAUUCAUUGAUCAGCUCAUCUACAUUUGGAAUAGGAUAUCGAUCUUUGAUGGUCAUCUCAUUCAGAUGCCUGUAAUCCACACAAAAGCGCCAUGUACCUUCCUUCUUUUUAACCAACAGAACUGGUGAGGCAAAAGGACUGUUGCUGUGGAUGAUUAUUCCAUGCUGUAACAUGUCUGUAACCUACUUUUCUAUUUCACCCUUCUGAGAGUCAGGAUAUCUGUAUGGCUUCAUUUUAAAAGCCUGAGACCCCUGUUUUAAAGGAAUUUCAUGAUCUAUUUCCCUGGUAGGAAGCUCAGAAGGAGCCUCAAAAACAUCAGCAAAUUCCUCAAUGAUGCCUUGAACCUCAAUAGGCAUAUCCCUCUUCUCUGAUUGAUUAUCCUGUCCCAUCCUCAUAGCCAGGGACAUCUGCUUCUUAUAUUCAAUAAAGUUCCUCAAAUCACUCCCCCUAAUAAGAUCCAAGUCACAGUUCUCAGCUUGUCCCCUUAACUGUACCACUUCCACUUGAUUGUACAAGGAGAUUCUCAACUGGUGAAAAUCAAAAGUAAUGGGGCUAAAACGAGUCAUCCAGUCUACUCCCAAUAUGAUAUCCCAGUCACUGAGGUCUAUUACUUUCAAGUCAUAGCAGAAUUUAUGCUGAUUGAUCUCCCAUACCACUUUAGGACAUAUGGCUUUACUGGCUACACAAGCUCCAUUUCCUACUAUUACAGAAAAAGGAUCAACUAGUUGAUAUGGAACGUCAAAGGCAAUUACCUUUUCACUGCUGAUAUGGCUAUCUGAGCUCCCAGUGUCAACCAAUAUUAACAUCUCUUCCCCAUCCAGUUUCCCUAUCAGUGUUAUUGUUUUCCUCUGCAGAGCCUCUGGCAAGGUAUGUAGAGACAUUUCCAUGACUUGUCCAGGAUUGCCUGUAGCUCCAUCUUGUUCCCCUAAUGCAUCCUCAAACUCAGAAUCUUCUUCCUCCUCAGUGAUCAGAAGAUUCAAGUGGCCUAACUUACACUGGUGACCCUGUCCAAAUUUUUUUCCACAUUUGAAACAAAGUCCAUUGUUUCUCCUAUACUGUAAUUCUUGAGCUGAUAGUCUUUUAGGUUCUGCAUCUGCGGUAGAAAUUGGUUUCCCUUUGAAUGAGGUAUUCCUGAAGGUGCUAGUAGAAGGCACCUUAUAGUGGGAACUAUGGAUCUGUUGUUGGGAAGAACUCCUGGAGAUUCCAAACUUGUUUUCAGGUACAGUUUUCCAGCUUCUGACUUGAAGUUUCAGUGCAUCUUCUUGCAGUGUAGCCAUUUCAAAAGCUUCUGACAAGGUUGCAGGUUUCAACAUUCUUAUCAUUGUUUUGAUCUCGUCCUUAAGUCCACUGAUGAAGCUAGAUACAAAAUAUUCCUCACCUAGGUAGGGAUUCUUAAUCAUCAUAAAGGUUUUGAGUUCUUCAAACUUUUCCUGGUAUUCUUCCACCUGCCCUACUUGUUGCAGUUUAUUGAAUUCUUCCACCACAUCCCUGCCAAUCUUAUUAUCAAACCUUUUAUACAGCAGUUCUUCGAAGGUUCCCUAUGUUAGACCUAGUUUUUCUAAUUUUACUCCCUGGAACCAAUUGUCCACCCUCCCUUCUAAGUACAUUUCUAUGACUUCCAUCUUAUGAUCCUCCAAUGUCUUAAAUCUGGUGCUUUCUACCAUGGAAUUUGACUUCUUCCACGGAUCCGACCGGCUCUGAUACCAAAUGUUAGGAACCUGGAUUUAACACUCGAAUUUGGGGAAAAUCAGAGUAUAGACGAAGAGAGAGAGAGAGCGAGAGAGAAAAGAAGUAGAAAGAGAGAGUAAGAAUUAGAGAGAGAAAGAAUGAAAUUAUAUUAUUGUUCCUGCAUGUGAAUUCUGCCAAUCGAUCCCGUACAAAUAAGAAUGGCUAACCGACUUUAACUAAUUCCAACUGAAUCUGUUACGCAUGGGAACGACACCGUUCCACUUAUUCUAAUUUCUACUGAUUUAUUUGGUCAUAAAACGACCCCAUUCCACUUAUUCUGCUUCCUACUGAUUUGUUUGACUAGUUACAUAAAAUGACACCUUAUGCUGACUUAAUUUCUUCAUCCUGACAUAAUCUCAUCCUAGAAUGUGAACCUUAAUAAUUAGAAAUUUCAGUGGUUAAAGAGUUCCUUGGGUGUGGCCUUUCACUAAAAAUAUGAAUUUUUAGGACUUGGGGGCGGCCCCUCGCUGCUCCCUAGUUUCAUCCUAGAGUAUGAACCUUGUUAAUUAAAAAAUUCAGCUGUUAAAGAGUUCAAAUUUGUUUCUAGUUUCUUUAAAUAAUGAUAGAGGGGCUUAAUCAAUUUUGCUAUAAACCUUGAUAAUUUAAAAAAUGACAGAUAUUUUUACUUAAGAGUAACUAUAACUGUAAUCACAUGAACCUAAAAUAGGUUUUGAGUGUCCGAUAAGUUGAACUCUAUCAAAAUCUUGAUUAAGUUCUUAGCAAUUUCAAUCUUGUAAGGGUAAAAAACAAAACAACCUUUUGUAGUAAAUUUAAUAUACAGAAAAGCCCUCCGUGAUUUUAAAACGUACAAAACGACACAUCAUACUUUGAACUAAAUUGUAAAGUAACGGAAUCCGUUAAACUUAAGGGAAUGGACGAAAUGAUAAAAAUGCCCUAAUAUAACUAAGCAAAAGACAACUCAACAAAAUCAUUUGUUUCAUUCUCUAGAGAGAGAGAAUUGUGGACUAAAGGAUAGAACAGGUAUAUUUGUUAAAAAUUAGGUACAAAAAUUUUUUUUAGGUUCCAAUAAGUCAUUUGUGAUGUCCCCACUUCUCCCAAGGGCGAAUUCAAGGGUAUCCGCAGAACGCUUGCCUAGCUCUCGCCAGGAUUCGGUACGAUUUCCGUUCAAGCUUAAUAUAAUAAUAACUAUUAAUACCAGACGACGUAAGAAAAGAAGUCACUUCCAUACAUAGAUAUUCAAUCUUACAUUACAAAUUUCAAAAUACAUCCACUUUUCCAAAAUAGACAACUUCCAUAAGAUGUCUAGACAAGUACAUUCCAAAUUUCAAGCCAAAAGAGCCAUCAAAUAGGGUUUUCCAUAAUCCCUUCCAGUUCAGCUCCUGUUAAGGAAAACCAAUCUAAUAGGAUGAGCGGAUGCUCGUGAUGCCAAGAAAACAUGCAAAACACGUAGUUCAAAUAACAAUAAUACUUGAACAAGAAUGAAAGCUGUAACAUUAAGUAAUUCACAAUUAACAAUAAAUCACACUUGAUAAGGAUACAGGAGCUCUCAAGAGCUAUUUUCCACUUGCUCGAUCCGGAACCUCCACGAGUUGACACUCCGUCAAUCGGGUAGGUUAUGAUCCGUAGAACUUCACUUACACUUUCGCCGUUCACCGUUACUCCUCCUGCUCCGGGCCCACACUUCUUUUAUAUAAGGCGAUACUAUUCGAGUAUGCCAAGCAAGAUCUUUCCAAUAGAUCAAGCUUAUACACUUUUCCCAUGGCUCACCAAGCUUCUCGCCCAAACCCAUGCCGGCUCGAGUCGCAAGGUCGGCCGAUGAGAUUUGGGCAUCCCCCACUAUUAUCACUAGGAGCGGCGGAGAUUUACUCCAAACGACAUAUGCAACCAUAGUAUAAUUAACCAUUAUAACACUUCACUUAAUACACUUAACAAUUCACUUUAAGUAAUUCACUUCAAUCAAUUCAAAGACACUUUACUUAACCGAAAACGAGUGCGAUAAAGUACACACUCAACCUAGCAUUUUCAAAAUACUCAAUCAAUAAUAACAAUUAAGCACGUAACAAUUUUUCACACACUUGACACUCACCAAGUCAAGAUAAGAGUGAGUGAACGAGCAAUUAAGUCGUUAGGCAUCCACUUCGAGAUUCUCUUGCAGAUCUUCUUGAGUGCCCGGACAAUUAACAAGUAUUCUCACUCAAAACCAUAUAUUUAUCAAUAAAGACGGUACACUCAUUUAGACUAGUCAAUACCUCAAACAAAGAAUCUUAACCACUCAAAUAAAGGUUCAAAAGUGAGGAUUUAUUAACACAAGAAAAAUUGAUUUCCUCUAUGAAAUCUAGUUUAAAAUGAUCAAUCAUUAUAAAAAGGUAAGAGAAAAGUUUCCAAAACUCAUUUCCCAUCUAGUCGGAAAAUUUCAGUUUUGCACGUCAAAUUUAGAAAAAUCAAAACUUGCAGUCAGUAGGUCCAAAAUUGGAAACCUUUAUACCAUUGGAAUCUUGGUUCAAUGUACUAAAAGUUCCUAGAAGACACUUUUCCAAGAUUCUAAAUAGAAGACAUUCAAAUUUCAGCUCAAAGUGGCUGACUUGAGCAUACAAGACAGUUUCGAUCAUGUUUUUCGGCAAACUUUGGAAAUUCGGAAAAAUUCAUAGAAAGUGAACUGGCCUCUAAAAUUUGUAUCACAAUGAGAAUUUCAAUCAAAGUUUCAAACACAACAAGUGGAACUGAAUUCGGAGUUUUGAGUGCCAAAAUAUAGCAGCUCAAAGUUGGCCAAAAUUGAAGACUGUUCGGUCAAUUUUCUAGAUUUGAAGAACAACUUUGGCACAUCAUUUGUAUAUUGAAAUGGUCUUAGAAUAACACCAAACUUGGUACAAUUAAACUCCCAUAUGAGGGCUAUUCCUCUAUGAAAUUUCAUGUAAAAACUCGUACGGGAAGGUAGUUAACAAAACUACCAAAGUUCAAGAAAUUUCCAAGACAAAUCUAUUUUCUUGUUUUCUUUCCCUUUUUCAAACACUUUGCACCAUGAAAUCAGUCCCAUUUUGGUUCAUUUGUGAAACCAAGGUCCAAGAAACAUUUCAUAAACAAUUGGUAGUUGGUUGACAUCAAAAUUCUAAAAUAAAACAUCUCACAAACAACCAAACCAGUCGGCCAGCCCAAAAGAAGGGUUUUCCAGUUUUGUUGCAGUUUGGAAAUUGAACCAUAUCUCACUCCAUAAAACUUGGAAUCAAGAAUGGUUGGUGGCGUUGGAAACUAGAAUCAUAAGGCUACAUUUCAUCAGAACAAAUCAUUUUCAAAAUCAAUUCAUAAGUGAGAGAAAAUAGAGCCACGAAAUGCAGCUUCUACCUUUCUCUCGGAUAAGCCAACAGAACAGGGCAGCAAAUUUGCCGACUCACUACGGCUCACUCAUUUCGAACUAGAAAGUGAAUUUUAUACCAUUGGAAAGUUACAAAUGUCUAGUUUCAAAUGCCACAAAUAGAACUCAAUUUUGAUGUCUGUACAAAGAGAUAUGUUCGUUCAAAGAGACACUGUUCAAGCUGCCAGAACACAUUUCCAGAUUUCUUUACAUUUCGAAAUUUCAAGUUUUACUCAACCAAUUCAAAUGAUUUUUGGUAGAAACUUUCUACACACCAUAUACAGCAUAUAUAUUAGUUUCAAAGUCAUUUGAGCAUCAAAAAUUUGAAGUAACGGCAUGGUAAUAACAGGACAGAUUUCGGCCAGCAUUCCUAUGCAAUUUCCUUCGAUCUUUCCUUCAAUUUCUAACCUUAACACUCAUACCAACACAUUAACACACAUUAAAACAUCAUGGCAGUCCUAUAUAACCAAGGUGAGAGUUCAUAGAGCCCACUUCAAUCAAUCCAAUCCAAAUAACAACAACAACAAGGACGCUACAAGCUUCAUAGCCAAGAAUGAAACUCUUUAGAACCAAAGAAAUGAAAGAUUGGAUGAGUUGAGGUGUACACCUCUUGAACUCUUGAAGAACCAGAAAUUUUGAUCACAAAAGCUCUCACCAAGCUAGAGUUGCUCUCCAAGUGAUAUGUGAGUUGUGUGGAAAAUUUGAGGUGAAAUGGAAGCAAAAAUGGUAGUGAAAUGGAAAGAGCUCUUCUUCUUCUUCCUUGGAGUGUUUGGCCGGCUAUGGAAGGUAAAGAGAGAGAGUGUGGCUGAUGAAUGAAGCUUCCUUUGGAAGCUUAAGGGUUUUGUGGUUACAAUUUGUACAAAAGUCAACCAUGAAUAGUGUUCACGCGCGCGCGUUUCGUAUCCAUUUUCUCUUGGAUUUGUUUCACUUGUGCACUAAACCUCCAAUGUAAUUCCUUUAACACUAUAAUUAUUCAUCCUUAGUAGUCUAGAAUAAAUUUCUUAAAUCUCUAUUGUGACAGCCCCACCUUCCCCUAAGGCGAACCUAGAGGUGUCAAAAUGGGUGACUUGGGCGGGUUUGGGUUGGGUAAAAUGGGUAAUGGGUAUAAGUGGGUCAACUCAUUUAUACUCAUUUAAUUAGAUGGGUAUAAAUGGGUAAGUCAAAAAAUGAAUUGGGUAACCCAAUUACCCAUUUAUAACCCAUUUAUUUUAACUUUUUGUAAACUCAUUUAAAUUCAUUUUUGCAAACUAAGUUAUCAAUUUAUACCACUCUUUGUACCCAUCAUUAGUUUUAAAUAUUUAUUUAUAAUGUUCAAUAAACUUAAUUACCAAUUUUUUUUCAUUUAUACUCUAUGUCACAAAAUUACCUAUUAUUUAAUAAUUGAAUAAUAAGAAUAUAAAAAUUUGAACUAAGUACUAUAAAAAUUAAUAUAAAAACUUAAUCCAAAAAUUUUGAACCCUAACAUUUUUUUCAUAUAUAAAUUUAAAUUUUCAUUUUAGAAAGAUAAGAAAAUAGGCUAAAAUUUAUCAUAAAUUAGUAAUGCUGAAAAAUGAGCAAGUUAACAAACUAAGAGAAAAUAAAAUAAUAAGACAAAACCAACAAAUAAUGAUAAUAAUGAAACAAAAGUAGUUAACAUCAUGACAAAAUGAAAAAUUUGAAAAAAAAAAUGGGUGGGGGAAAAGAAGAGACUUGGGGGGAAGAGAAUUCUAAAUAGAUUAAUUGGGUUUGAUGGGUUACCCAAUAAUACCCAUUUAUUAAGAUACCCAUACCCAUCUAUUCAUGGGCGGGUAUGGGUAAAUUUAAUUAAGUGGGUUGAUUUGCCACCUCUAGGCGAACCAAAGGGUUCGGCGGACUGCCUGCCCAGUUCUCGUCGGGACUACAGAAACAAAUCACACAAACCCUGCAUAACGCGCGAAAAACCCAAAAGAAAACAAACAAUCGGAGACCACCAGGCCAAAAUAUAACUUACCAAACCAUAUGGUGAAAUGAGACAUCGAUUAAACACUUCAAUUAAAAGGAAGCCGGAACUGAAAACGAAACGAAAAGUGGUCCACGUCACAAUCCGGCCGGAUUCACAGCCGGAUUCAAGGUAGUAGCGAAACCAAUUUUUUUUUCAACUUUCCCUGCCAAUCCGGCCAAGAACUGGCCGGAUAUACGGCCAGAUUCGGUGAACAGUUUCCUGCCAAAAUUUUCUUUUCUCAAUCAAAUCCCACACUCGUUCGAAUCCACAACGGAUACAAGUAAAGUUAAUAUAAACCCAUCAAAUGUACAUUCACCAACAAAUACACGAGAGAGACAUGAAUAAACACUUUUAAACACACGUUGGAACUUUACAAGUCAAAGUGUGAUACUAGAUCAAAAUAUAAUUAGGGUUUUUCUAUUACAAAGGAGCUUAACAAAAGAACGUUUACACUAGCUCGACCCUUUCUUCCAAAAAUCAUGAUUUCAUAGUUUGCCCCUGUAAGGAAAAUAAAGAUAACGUGAAGGGGGUGAGCUUACGCUCAAUGAGAUACCAAAAUUCUAGUAGUCAAGAAUCAUGGCAUUUCACGUUUAAUCAGUCAGAUACACAUACCAGAUAUAAAGUAAAGCAGUUAAACACAGUGAUUCACAUAGGAAGGAUACGGGUGGCUCUCAGGAGCUAGAUUCCCGUUGCAGUACUAUAUCUUGAUCAAGUAGUAGUUGACACUCCGUCAACUUUCAAGUAAAAUAACUAGUUCAGUAGAGCACCACUUAACACCAAAUUCCGUCCACCAAACAUACCCCUUACCGGGCCCGAACACCUCAACAGGAACAGGAAUGGUAAUACUCGAGUAUACCGGAAAUCUAGAAUCUCCAAUACCCAUAGAUUUCCCAGGAACAAGCACCCACGGAUUGUCAAUUUCCUCGACCAAGCCCUUGCUAGCUCGAUUCAAUUAACUCCCCAUGAGGUUGAGCUCAGGUUUAACAGGAAGGUCGUUGGAUACACUUCCAAACGACAUUAUAACAAGCACAGGUAACUGAUUCAAGCUCAUAACAGGUACAAGUAACAGAUUCCAGUUUGUACAGUAAACAGUCACAUAGGCCAGAGAACGAGUGUGAUAAAGUACACUCUCAUCUCAUUUAGAAUAAACAGAGUUCAUAGUCAUUCAUGUCACAGAUUUCAAGUACAGAUGACCCAAUUAAGCAACAAUUCAGGGGAGUGGUACACUCACCAGUUCAAGCAAAGAUAACUUCACAAGUUUUCACCCAAAGUAGUGUUUUGAUCACCGUGAAACCCUAAAAUUAACCAAGGUAAAACAAUUGAGGUUUCGACAUCCAAAACCUAGUAAACGGAAUGUACAAGUGAGGCUCGACUACGAGUCAUAUGCCUAUUCAAAUGAACUACAAAUGCAAAGAGAUAAAAUGUGACUUUUGAGUGAAAAGGUAAUAGUUGGUCCUAGGGACAUGAACGACCUCAAAGCCCUUCACCUCUUCCCAAAACCCUACCUACAAUGGUUUACCGUUUCCAAAUUUGAAGUGGAAAAUGAAAGUAAGACCAGUUCUAGGAAAAUAGAAUUUUCCAGUUUUGCACAACACUAUUUGAAAAAUCAUAUCUCAAGCUUCUUAAGUCCAAAAUUGAUAAAAUUUAUACCAUUGGAAAAUAGAUUCAAAGAUUUACAACUUUCUAGAAGACACUAUUGUAAGAUUCAGAAAACAAGUCAGUCAUAUUCAAGCCUCAAGUUGUCGCUUCAUCCAGCAAAAGACAGAACAGGUAUGCAAUUUCAGUUAACUUUGAAAAAUCGCAGAUAUUCAUAGGAAUUAAGAAAAAUCAUGAAAUUUGGACGGUAGAAAGUACUCUGAAUCUAGUUUCAAACCAACAAACGGAACUCGAUUCUGACUUUUCUACAUCAAGAUAUGGUAGAUUUCCCAAGACUGCUCAAGGGUUCCUGUAGAAAAAUUUCAACAGCACCUCCCUCUAAAAUCUCUAUUUUUCCCUCCUACAAACAACCACCAAUAUCAUCUCAAUUGCACAUACAAAUUACAAGUCAUUAAACACACUCUUUUAGGGCCAUAACACCCUUAAUAUAAAGCCAAUUAAUAGCUCCAACAUCAACCAUCUUCAAGGCCAAAUUCGAAACCCUAAAUCUGAAAUUUAAGUACAUAAACUGGAAAUUUCUUUAGGCAAGUUAAUCUACUCCAUAAUCCUUCAAUCUUUCAUAUAGCAAACUAGCAAAAUAUGGCCAACCCUCAAUCAUUACAUGUGAGUAGAAAUUACAUCAUAAAAACUGGAAAGUUCUAUAUCAUCACCUCAAAUCACAAUAUUUCUCAUAAAAUCACAAAUAUUGUAACCCUAAACCACAAAUAUCCUAUUUUUAGAUGUAAAGAGGGAUUUCUUAGCAAAUUUACCUUGUAACCUCAAGAAAAAAUGGUAGCUUAGACUUCUUCCUCCCAAAUUAACUCCACCAACACCUCUCCUCUACCUUAGUGAAUGCUUGUAUGGAGUGGUUUGCAAAGUUGUUGGCCAAAACUCAAGAUUCAAGCAAUUUUGGAAGUUGGAAAUGCAGUUUUCCUCUCUUGGUUUUUCUCUCAAAUGGCCGGCCAAGCAUGAAGAAAAAUGAGAGGAAUUUUGGUUUUAGUAAAGUAAGAAGGUCUUGGUCAAAAGUCCAACAUCCAAUGGCAUCAUGACACUUGGCCUUUCUUAAGUUUAAUCUCAUCCUUUGGUCUACCAAUGGUUCAUCUAUCUAGGUAACCUCUAAUUAUCUCCUAGCACCUUGUAAAAUAAUAUCCCUUUACACAAAAAAUCACCUAGUCACCAAAAUUUUAUCGUACUUACCGCACUAGCGGGUCCCACGUCUAUAAUACACUUCAAACUUAACAUGAACCGACCAUACCAGGAAAAUGAUUUGAAAAACUAUAUUCACUUAUAAAAAUGUAUAUAAAGUUAAUAUAUUGAAGGAAAGUAUAAAAUUGUAGAUAAGGAAAUAAAAUAAUGUCUAGAAAAUAUAAAAAUUUUCGGGUUCUCACAUCCAUUGGGUCGAUUUGACGCGAAAAAUGCGAACUUCCGAUUCGCGCGCGAUAAAGCGAAACUUAAAAGAAAUUGUUGUAACGAUAAUAUAAGUAACUAAUACUAGGGUAAAUAAUCAUAAAAAUAACUAUUUUAUAAAUAAAAACAUGAGUCCUCACACGAGUCUAGUAUUAAUUCCUCAAAUCUCCAAUUAAUUUGUAUCCGCGCGUCUUUCGGAAAGCUAUCGACGCGCGAGCGGUAUAAGAUUAAUUUUAACUCACUCACAUCUAAUCUCUCAAUUAACUUUUCUUAGUCUACUAUUGAUCAUUCUUAAUUUUCCAAGAUUAUUGCACUCUCGAAUCGAAUUUUGUCUCGAAAAAUGUGUACUCGUUAUUCCUUACUAAACGAGCCUCCGAAAAAUAAAUUUUGCUAAUGAAACGUUUUAAAAAUAUGAGUAGGGCAUUGUUCCAUGUAAAUGGAUGUAAAAUGACUGAAUUAAAUUAUUCGGAGAAAAUGGGUGAAUAAAUAAUUAAAUAAGCCAGUAAAAUAAGAAAAUUUUCGGGUCCUCACAUCAUUUCUGUUAAUUUUAACUAAUUCUGUCAACUUUACAAUUUAGUGUAAAGCAUGAGGUGUCGUUUUGUACAUUUCGAAAUCACGGGGGGCUUUUCUGUAUAUUAGAUUACCAUAAGGGGCUUUUUAUUAUUUACCCAUCUUGUAAUUGAAUAUUUAACCGUCAAGUUGUUCUCUUCGAGAUUUAAAAUCAUCAAUUAAAUUAAGUUGCCAAUUGAAAGUGUGCAUGCCCUAAAGUUAAUCUACUUUUAGGGUUUAAUAUGGACUUGAACUAUUUAUGUUAUUAUAAAUGACAUCUUUAUCAAAUUGAUUGCAAAUAUAGUUAUAUUUGUAUGACAAAACAAUUAGAAUAAACGUGAUCAAUGAAAUUAUAGGAGUGAUGAUGAUGAGGUUCAUUCGAUUAUAGAUAAGAUUUAAUCUUAAAUAUUUCUAGUCAAAGUAUUAAUAUGGUGAGAUUACUAUAUACUAUGGCGCUUUUAUAUGAGAAGUAGUAGAACUCAUCUACUAUGGUGUGUGAGACACCUAAACUAGUUUAUGGGUGCUUGAUAAGAUGAUUAAGUUUACUAAAUUGAUCUGAAUAGAGAUAUCCUUUGAGUGCCAAAGGACUAAUCUCUAAGUGAUAUUUGUAUAAGUGAUCCUUAGAUUUAAAGUUAUCAUGGUAUCUUGAGUACGGAUGAUUAUACUUUAUUUGCUAUAUAAUUGCUCCCGUAACAGGAAAUGCUCACACCAUUAGCUUAUGGGUAUAUAUUUGAAGUAUGGAAAUAUAGUAAAUAACCUAUAACGAUUUACUACCUCUGAUGAAUGUCUAACCACUUGUAGAAGUAUAAUUCGGAAUUUUUAACGCUAAGUGAAAGAGUCUUAAAAGGUGUUUUUAAGUACUUCUUCAAUGGAAUUAUAUUUUAGUACAAUAAAUGAACAUUAAUCACAUAUUGCAAAAGACACAAUUUAUUCCAAAAUUAAUGUAAAAUAAGUGUGGUAAAAGGAUAUUAAUUACAUGAUAGAUGUUCACUAAAGAUGAAGUCAUCCACUUGACUUUUCUCAUUACUUGGGUGGUCAUGAUGUAUUGUUAGAUAUCAAUCUUGAUAUAUAAGAAUGACUUGAUUGAUUAAUGAAAUCAAUGAUAAAUUAAAAGGAGUUUUAAUUUAUCUAAUUCUUUCUUAUUAAGAAUUAUAACUCAUACUUAUUGCCAACAUAUAUGAGAACCUAAUGGGUCACACACAUUAAUAACUUCUUUAGUUGGAUUAAAUGAAUUUCAAGUAGGGAGUUGAUAGAUUAGUUAUAUAACUUAUAGUUUAAUUUGUGAGAUAAAUUAAAUUUGAGCGACUUAGAGUGCAAAUAAGUUCAAGUCUUUGAAAUACAAAUGAUGUAUUAGAAUAAGGAAGCUGAAUUCUAUUGGAAAUUGGUUUUAGUUUUCCAUAAGAAUAUGGACACCUUGUUUGUCUAUAAAUACUCACUAAACUUUUGCUAGCAAAACUAAUCAACACACAAAUUGCCUUGUUAGAUUUUUGAGAAAAAUCUUGAGAGAAAAAAUGCCCAAAAUUCAUCCAAGAAAUAAGAAAAAAAUCACAUCCUAUUUUUCUCUUAUUGGGGAAAGUUUUUCACAGUGAAAAAUUAGGAUUUGUCUCAACGAAUUUGUGGGAGGUGUCAUGAUAGUAGCUAGCACUAAUCUUGGUUCAGCUAAGGAGGUUGUAGAUAAUUCGACCUAAGGAGGUUCUAACUAAAGAGGUUUGAGUGAAUCACCGUUAGAAAUCAGAUCGCUGUGUAGCUACGUGGAUCACUUUGACCCCCUUUGUGUCAAAUCUCUACCGAUUCAAGAAGAUUUUCAUGGAUUGAGAUAAUUUUCUUGGAUAACAUUAUAUUACAUUGAUUUAAUCAAUGGUCGAUAAAGGAGUCAGAAAUUUGAAAAUUUUCACUGUGUAUGUCUCUAUGAUUCCCUACAGUGGUAUCAGAGCCAAUUUUGAUUAAACUAUGAGACAGAUUUAUUUAAUUGUCAUGAAUGUGAUUAGAUCACAAUUAUAUACUAUUCUUGAAGUUGGCUUAAGUUUUAUAUGAACAAAGUUGGUUGAAAAAUAUUCUAGAAUCGUUCCUGAAUAUUUUCGUGGCCUUUUAAUUUGAAAGUCAUCAAUCAACUGAGCAAAGUCCCGUUGCUGUUUUAUUGUGUGAGAUGAUCACUAAAAGGAAAAAAUAAAAUAGAAAGGGGAAAAGGAAAAAUAAGAUGGCAUCUUGGUUUGUCAUGAUAAAUCUCGCGGGACGGCAAUUGCAUGUCAAUGGGGGAAACCAUGUGAUCAUUUUGUAUCUAGGAAUGGCAACAAGGUGGGGUCCCGCUGUCCACUAGUCCCCUGGCUCCCACAUCGCCCUGCUUUCCCUGUGGGGACAUCCACGGAGGCUAAAAUAAAAAUUUGUCCUAUAAUUGCAUUAUAGCUAAAUUUUAAAGAAAAAUUAAGUACUUAAAUACCAACACAUCAUCACGUCAUUAUCCACUAUAAUUUCUCAAUUGAAAUUCAUAAAAAUAAUCAAAUAAAAACUAUUUAAAUACAAUCCAACAUGAUGAGAUAAUUACAAUUAAUGUAGUCAAUUUUCACUUUUGAAACAAAUACAAUCACCAAAUCAUUAUUGUGUGCUUCUUUUGAGAAAAAAACAUUAUUAUGUUAAGUGUAAUUAAAAAUUUAGUAUAAAAGUAUUAGUAAAUUUAGCAUAACUAAUUAAUAAUUUUUAUUAUUAGACAUUGUAAUUAUUAGUAUAACUGAUAAUAUUUAUUAUAUUAUUUAACUGGGGAAAGAAUUCCCCCCAUCCCGCCCCAUUAGCCCCUGCAGGUACCCGCCCCAAUUGCCAUCCCUAUUUGUAUCGCUGCGGGUUUUAUGUAUACAAUAUGGCCAAGGUAAAUGCUAUGUUUAUUCUUCCUCCACAUAACUAGUCUUGUGAUUGAGAUCUUGUGGAUCAAAUUGGAAACUAAUCAAUAAAAAGAGACAUGUUGUUCUGGCUGAUUGUGAAGACCACGGAUUAGUCACUGGGAGGUGAUUAAUCAUAAUUUAUCAUGGUCAAGUUAAACGAUGUAUUCUUUUUGUAUCAAUUAGAUUGUUGCAUGAGUUUCCUUUGUAGUGGUUGUUGUUUAACCAUCAAAUAAUAAGAAGAAACAUGUCUGGUUGAUUAAGAUCAGCCUAUGAAAGUCAGAAAAAAGCAGCGAGAAUAUGCUGUUGGAAAUUGUAUUAAAAAUGCAGAUUUUCAGUAGUUUACAUCAAUUUUUCAGCGGCUGUUUUGUUGCGUUUUUCACUCUUCAUUACUUCAAAUUCUAGCCAUAAGAUGGUGAUGAACAUGAAGGCUUUGAUUGGUUAAUUGUUGUUUAAAACUUUUCUAGAAAAAGGAAAUUCAAGAAACAAGUUAGAUUCGAAUGACAAAUAGGAUUUGGUCAUUGAUUUCCAUUUUUGUAUAGGUUUCUAAGAUAACAUAAAAAUUUCUUAUAAUUCUAAUAUGAUUAGAAUUAAGUUAUUUGCUGGAAAUUUUCUAGAAAAAGGAUAGAUAGGUAACUAGUCAAUUUCCUAUGACAAAAAUGUUUAGUCAUUCGUUUCCAUUUUGUGUUUAGUUUUCUAAACUAACAUGGAAAGUUCUUAUAUUUCUAAUAUAAUUAGAAUUAUGGUAUUUUUCUUACAAUUUUAGAAAUUUAAAUUGGACAAGAAGUUGUUUGAUUAAAUAUGGAAACUUUCUAAUUUCUAGUGAGACUAAAAUUAAGAAAGUGAAACCAACUUUGGAAACUUCCAAAUUUGAUGAGAUUAAAUUUGGUAAGUAUUCAAAUACUUUUAGAAACUUUCUAGUUUAAUGAGAUUAAAUUAGGAAAGUGCUCUAAAGUUAGUAUUUGAAAUUUUAAAGUUGUUUGAAGGAAAAUUUCCAAACCUAAGUGAACUAGGAAAUUCUAGUUGGACUAGAAAAUUCUAAUUUUGACUUGGGCUUGUAAUUGGAUUAUGACAAACUUUUGUUCGUGGUUUUAAAAUAUUGAAAAUUUUUCUAAUGAGAUUAUAAAGUGUUUUUGCAUUAUUUUAAAAUAAAUAAAAGAGAAACUUCAAGAGUUGAAACUUUAAAUGGUUUAAGGUUUGAGCAUAUAAUGAUUCAUUAUUAGAAUUAAAUAAAUAUUUUAUUAUGCUUUCACUUAAUAUUAUGUUAUGUGAAUGUAUGAUAGAUGGUUAUGGAUUCAAAUCAAUGUGAUUGUGAAUGUUGAAUGUAUGUAUGGUUUGUUUUUUUUUUUUUUUCCAAACCAGACUUUUAUUCCUUGGAAAAGAGCUGACGUAGGAACAUGGCUAAAAGGUAGUGAAAACAGGGAGUACUACUCCCUUACACGCAUGAGACGAAAAUACGGGAAAUGCUGAGUAUCCAAGGCCGAGAUGCCCUUCACUCGUGGUGGCAAACUAGUUGCGUCGUAAGUGGCUGAUUGGUGGCUUGUAGCUACUUCCUUUGCCAGAAUGUCCGCCGCGGCAUUAAGCUCCCUGUAGCAAUGCUCCAAGAUGAAAUUUGCAGUGGAUAGAACUUGGCGUCUUUGGCGGAUGAUGGUGUCGAUCUUCCAGGGCACCCCUGAAGUUUGUUGCACUAUGGUAAGCAAUUGUUUGGAGUGUGAGGACCCGAAAUUUUCAUAUUUUAUUUUAUUUUUCUGGCUUAAUUAAUUAUUUACUCACCCGUUUUCUCUGAAUAAUUUAUUUCAAUCAUUUUAAACUUAUUUACAUGGAAUAAUGUCUCAAUUAUAUUUUUAACACGUCUAGUUAGUAAAAUUAAUUUUUCUAGAGCUCGUUUGGCGAGAAAUAAGGAGUACACGUUUUUUGAGGCUAUGUUCAAUCCGAGAGUACAUUAGUCUUGGAGAAUUAAGAAUGAUCAAUAGUAGAUUUAGAAAAGUUAAAUGAGAGAUUAGAUGUGAGUAAGUUAAAAAAAUUAAGCUUAUACCGUGCGCGCGUCGAAAGUUUUUCGAAAGACGUGCUGGUACAAAUUAAUUGGAGAUUUGAGGAAUUAAUACUAGACUCAUGUGAGGACUCAUGUUUUUAUUUCUAAAAUAGUUAUUUUCAUGAUUAUUUACCAUAGUAUUAGUUAGUUAUAUCAUUGUUACAAGAAUUUCUUAGAAAUUUCACUUUAUCGCGCACAAGUCGGAAGUUCGCGUUUUCACGCGCGCGACUAAUUGGAGGAUUUUAGAACUUGUUGUUAGACUACAAAGAGUGGAUAAUAAUAGUGUUAAAGGAAGUGCAUUAGAGGUUUAGUGCACAAGUGAAACAAACCCGACAGGAAACGGGCACGAAACGCGCGCGUACGCGUACUAUUGGAGAGUUGACUUUUGAGCACUUAAACCUCACACCUACCAAACUUCCUGAAGAAGCUAAACAACACUCUCUACUCUCUCUUUUCUCUCUCAAGACAGCCGGCCACACCAAGGAGGAAGAAGACCCAAAACUUCUUCAUCAUCUCACUCAAUCUUGCACCAAAUCACUUCAAAUUCAUAUCACAACUUGCAAACAACUUGGAGAUCAUCUUGGACUAGGAGAGGAGCUUCAUUUCCAUGGUUUCUUGGAGCUUCUUAGUAGCCAAAAUUCUGGUCUUCAACAUCCAAGAAGGUAGCAAAUCAUCCAACCUUUGAAACUUGAUUUUUGUGAGUUAGAUUGGACUUGGAAGCUUGUAGCUUCAUGUGGGUAACUUUGGUUGGUUGAAAAUCACUUGAGUGUUCUCUAUGAAAUCCCACAAUGGAUAUGUUGGACUGAUAUGAUGAUUUUGGGUGUUAUUUAUGUUUAUUAAGUGUUAAACUAGUGGAUAUAAGUUGAAAAAUUGGAAAGAAAAUCAAAGGAAAGUUGAAAGCUAAGAAGGGCCGAUUCUGCCCUGUUUUUGCAGAGCACUUGCUGCGAUUUUUUUGCGAUUAAAUUUCUUUGAUUUUGAUGUAGAUAUGUCGUAUAGGUUGUGUGGAAAGUUUCCACCAAAAAUCACUUGAUUUGGUUGGGUAAAAGUUGCAUAUUCGAAACAUGUUCAAACCUGGAAAACGUGUACAGAGGUACUCUGGCAGCGAACUUUGAACGAUCAUAACUCCUUGCUCCAAUGUCAAAAUCGAUUUCCGUUUCCGGCAUUUGAAACUAGACACUUCCAGUUUUCUAACGGUAUAAAAUGCAUCCCUUGAUUCGACUUGAGUGAGCGGUACCAGUUCUUCAAAUUUACCUAUCCUGUUUCACUCCUGUGCUAGAGAGUCAAUGAUGUGCUGGGAAUUGUUGCUUGAAUUUGAGCUAGCUAUGGACUGAAUUUCAAAAUGAUUUCUUCUGAUGAAUUGUAACCUUAUGAAUGUAGUUUUCAAGGCCACCAACCAUGCUUAAUUUAAAGUUGAAUUGACUGAGUUAUGGCCAAAUUACAGAACUGCACUAGUGAUAGAAAACCCUAGUUUUGGCUAGCCGAAUGGCUUAGCUAGAUUUGGGACUUGUUAUUUUCAAACCUUUGGUGUUAAUCACCUACCAAAUGUAUUUUGGAUGUUUCUUAGAUAUUUCCUUCAUAAAUGAACCAUGUUUGAGAUGAUUUCAUUGGCAAAAGGUUCGAAAAAAGGAAAACGGUAACUUAAGGCAGAAUUGCCUUGUAUAUUCCUAGAACUUUAGUGGUCUUGUUAACUGACUUCCCGUACAAAUUUUUGCAUGAAAUUUGACAGAGGAGUAGCCCUUAUUUGGUAGUGUAAUCAUACCAAAUUAGGUAGUGUGUACUUUAUCUCACUCGACUUACUAAAAUGACAGAUUUUUGCCGUCAACCGAGAACUAUUACCGUUUACCGUUUACUGAUUUACUUGAUUACUUGUGCAUGUUGUAAGCUCUAAGCUGAACUGGGCCCUGCCCUUGGUUACUAACCUGCUCGAGCCAGGACUGGGAUCGGUCGGGUAGGUUGGAACCCUGGGACACCGUUUCGGUAUACUCGAGUAUUACCACUGGAGGGAUAAGGUGAUGGUCAGACAAACCGAGGGGAUCUGGAGUUAUAAGGUGAAGUUGACCGAAACGGUUCCACUGGAACACCGUAUCCUUCAACAUGUGUUUAUUUCUGUAUCAUGAUAACUGCCUUAAUGUAAAUGUGCCAAUGUGAAAUCUUGAACCGUAUAUGUAUCAUGCUUAACUUACAUGAUUUAUUAGAACUGCUAGAGUGUUUUGGGACCUCACUGGGUUGUUUAGCUCAUUCCACGUUUUUGUUUUCCUUAACAGGGUUUGAGACCAAGAGUGCUCGUGAAUAGUACUAGAUUGUUUUCUUUUGAAGACCUUAAGUUAUAUUAUAACGGAUGGCUGUAGUACAUAUUCUUUUGGGUUGUAUUUAAGCUUUAAGGUUAACUUGUUGUAUUCUGGAGUAUUUUAAAUGUAUAUUGAAAUUAUUCGAAGAAUUUCUAGAUUUGUAUUAUGGAUUGUAGUGAGUCACGACGAGAGCUGGCAAGCAUUCCGCGGAUACCCUAGGGUUCGCCCUAGGGAGAAAUGGGGGCGUCACAUGGAGUCCACCUGCACUAUCAGUUACGGCAACCCCAGAGUGUGAGGACCCAAAAAAAAAAUUUCUUAUUUUUAUUGAAUAUUGUUGGUUUAUUUAAAUAUUUAUUCACCUGUUUUCUCCAAAUAAUUUAUUUCAACCAUUUUAAGUUCAUUCAUAUGGAACAAUGUCUUCCUUAUGUUUUUAAAACGUCCCGUUAGCAAAUUUAAUUUUUGGAGGUUCGUUUAAGUGAGAAAUAAUGAGUAUAUGUGUUUCGAGGUGAUAUUCUAUUCGAGAGUGUAAUUAUCUUGGGAAAAUUAAGAAUGAUCAAUAGUAGAUUAAGAAAAGUUAAUUGAGAAAUUAAAGGUGAAUAAGUUCUAAUUAAGUGCUUACCGCUCGCGUGUCGAUAGUUUUCCGAAAGACGCGCUGAUGCAAAUUUAUUGGAGAUUUGAGGAAGUAAUACUAGAUUCAUGCGAGAACUCACAAAUUUUCCUAUUUUAAACCCCUUUUACUAGCCCAUUUAAAUAUUUAAAUGCCCGUUCACUCCGAAUAUUUUAUUCUAACCUUUUUGGACCUAAUUACAUGGAACUAUAGCUUACUUAUAUUUUUAAAGUGACUUGUUUCAAAAAUUAAUUUUUUGGAAGCUCGUUAGGUGAGAAUAGUGAAUGCGCGUUUAGAAGCAAUAACCGAUUUGAGAGUACAAUGAGAUUGGAAAAUUGGAGACUUGUACAUUAGUUUUAAAAUAGAUAUUUUUAUGUUUAAGUUUUCAAGUGUUAGUUAGUUAUACUAUCGUUAUAAGAAUUUCUUGAAAAUUCUACUUCAUCGUGCACAAAUCGGAAGUGUGCGUUUUUACGCGCGCGAUUAAUUGAGGGACUUUAGACCUUUAUUUUUAGACCAUUAAGAGUGAAUAAUAAUAGUAUGAAUGCAAGUGCAUUAGAGGUUUAGUGCACUAGUGCAGCAAACUCGAGAGGAAUCGAGCACAAAACGCGGGUGUGCGCGCGGGAGAAAGAGUUGACUUUUGAAUUAAUUAGAGCCACACAUUUUAGCUUAUCUUGGAAGCUUCAUUAGAGCCCAAAACACUCUUUUUUUUGCUCCAUUCCAGCCGUGCAUAUCAAGAAGAAAAGAACCAAAUUUCUCCUCCAAGUUCUUCUUCAUUUCAUCACUAAAUUUCCACCAAAUCACCUCAAACUUUAACCACACUUUGCAAUCUACUUGGAGAGCAACUCAAGCUACAAAAAGAGCUUCAAAUCCAUGGUUUUUCUUGAGCAAGGAGGACCGAAAUUUCUGCCUUAAUCAUCUAAGAAAGUAAGUGACGAUCAACCUUGCAAAUCUUGACUUAUGGAAGUUGUUUAGCACUUAUGAGUUCAUAAUUUCUUAUGGGUAGCUUUAAAUUGUUGGAAAAUUGGUGAGUGGGCUCUAUGAAGUCCCACUAUGGUUUGAUGGACUGAUUUUGUGAGUUUUGAUGUUAAUAAUGUUGGAUUAGUGCUUAAAUUAGUAGAAAUGAGUGAUAUUAUGGAUGAAAGCUCAAAGGAAGUGAAGGGGAGAAUUUUUCCAUUUCUGCCCCUGUGAAUGCCGUGACCUUUAGAGCAUUUUUUUGAAGUUCUAUUGACUUUUUUAUGAUGUAUAUAUGUUGUAUGGGUUGUGUGGAAAGUUUCCACAAAAAAUUACGUGAUUUGGUUGGCCAAAUAUGGUGAUUUCAAAAGUUCAUUCAAAACUGGAAUUUUUCCCGUAUUGCACUGGCAGUGUUUUUCAAACAGCUAUAACUUUUUGCUCCGAUGUCAAAAUUCAUUUCCGUUUCUGGCACUGGAAACUAGACAUUUACAGCUUUCCAAUGGUAUAAAAUUCACAUCCUGAUUCCACUUGAGUGAUCCGAACCAAUCUUGUAAACUUACCUGUUCUGUUUCUCGUUUUACUGGAAGCUCUGUUUUAAGCAGCGAGUUGAUGCCUAAAUAUGAGCUAGUUGUGGACAUAUUUUUAAAACGAUUUCUUCUGAGAAAUUGUAGUUUUAUGAAUCUAGUUUUCAACGCCACUAACCAUGUUCAAUUCUAAGUUGAAUUGAGUGAGUUGUGGCCGAAGAUCGAAAUUGAUUCAGGGAUUGAAAACCCUCUUUUGGCUAGUUGAUGCCUUAACCUUGAGUGGGACUUGUUGUUUCGAAAUUCUUGGUGUUAAUCACCUACCAAACACAUCUUGGAUGCUUCUUAGACAUUGUCUACCUAAAUGAACCAUAUUUGAGAUGUUUUCAUUGGCCGAAUAUUUAGAAAAGGAAAAUUUGCAUACAAAGACAGAUUUGUCUUGGAAAUUCGUGGGACUUUAGUGAUUUUGUUAACCAACUUUCCGUAUGUAUUUUUCUAUGAAAUUUGACAGAGGAAUAGUCUUUAUAUGUUAGUAUGUUAGUGUAAUACUGCUAAUUUUGGUGCCAUUCCGAGUCCGUUUCGAUGUUCAACCAAAGUUCUAACGUUCGUGAAUUAAAUCUGGAAUUUGGCCUAACGGUCUCACUUUUCAGCACCUUUGAGCCGCCAUACUUUGGUGCUCAAAACUCCAAUUCUUGUUCUGCUUGUUUUGUUUUAAACUUUGAUUGUAACUCUAAUUGAGUUUCAAAUUUGAGAGACUAGUUCAAAUUCUGUGAAUUUUUCCGAAUUUCCAAAGUUGGCCAAAAACCAACCCCGAAACUGCCUCGAUAGCCUAAAACAGUAACUUUGAGCCAAAUUUUGAAUGUCUUCCAUUUGGAAUCAUGGAAAAGUGUCUUCAAGCAACUUUUAUUACUUUGGAAGACGUUUCCAACGCUACCAAGUUUUCCAAUUUUGGACUUGUAAAGAGUGAGAUACGAUUUUUCAAAGAUCUAGUAUCAAAGCUGAAAUUUUCGAAACUUAAGGAAAUGGAGUUUUUUUGAAUUCUCCUUUUUCCUUCGAUAUCACAUGAUCGUUUUGUGACAGCCCCACUUUCCCCUAAGGCGUACCAAAGGGGUUCGCGGACUGCCUGCCCAACUCUCGCCAGGACUAACGAGGCAGUUAAAUACGAUCUAAAACGUUCUGGAAGGUAAUAGCGUGCUCAAUCUAUUCAAAAUUGUAAAAUAGCAAAACGAAAAUCAAAACCGCCAAUGCAUAGUGGGUGCCAUGUCAUAUAACUCGGGAAAAUAUUUCCAAACCAAAUAGGAUACAUGAACAGAGUUAAACAGCAUUAUACCCGUACGUUUGUCAUUUUCAACACAAAAGGAAGAUAAUUAAAUCAAAAUAAAUUUAGGAUUUUUCCAACUAUCGAGGAGCUUCACAAAAAUAUAUUAAAACUAGCUCAACUCGUGCUUCAGAACAUCAUAGUCCCCAAAAGUGAUUCCCUGUAAGGAAAACAAAAUUUAAUGGAGUGAGUUUUCGCCCAAUGAGGUACCAUCACGCAAGUAAACAAAAAAUUCACAUAAGCACAAAGUUGCUCAAUCCAAGUACGUUCAAUAAAUGAAUCAACUGGCACCACGUUUCAAUAAAGAUUUCUAAAGGAUACGGUCGGCUCUCAAGAGCCCUUUUCCUCGCUUGCCGUACUUGAUCUCGCCCCGUUGACCCUCCGUCAACGUUUAAGGAGUAACCAAUACCACAGACUCCACUUUCUCCGAUUCCUUCCACCUCACAUACCCCUACCGGGCCCGAACUCCAACCAGUUCAGUAAUGGUAAUACUCGAGUAUACCGGAAUCAAGAGUCUCGUACCCAUCGAUUCCUUAGAAACAGUUCCCCAUGGCUUAUGAAUUUCCUCGACCAAGCCCUUGCUGGCUCGAUUCAAUUGCCCACCAAUGGGGUUGAGCUUAGAAUCAACAGUAUAAGUCAUUGGAUACAUGUCUAAACAACACCAAUUCAAGUAUAAGCAAGACAAUUCAAGUGAUACAGUAAACAGUCAAUUAAGCCAUAGAGUACGAGAGUGGUAAAGUACACCCUCGUCUCAAUCAGUAUCAUCAUUAAACACAAACAUUCCACUCAUACAUCUCAAGUAUAACAAAGCCAAGAAGUAUCAAUCAUGUGAGUAGUACACUCACCACCCAAGCAAAGAGAGUUAUCACAAAUUUCUGUCCGACGAGUGCCUUGUGUCACCAGCAUGCCCUAAAACAUUCAAUAAAACACAAUAAGACUCGAUUACGAGUCAUAAACCAAAUCCACACACUACCAAAAAUAAGGCCCCAUUAGAACGUAUAAGUACAAAAUUAAGCUAGGAAAAGUUCGGAAAUGACAGUUAAGCCCUAAAACCCAAAAACAGAUUUGACGUCGUUUAGCGUAUCGGACACAACCGAAGCUACGCUUGUCGGAUUGGUGUGAAAUUUAUACCGUUUCGAAGCUAAGAUAAAGGGCUACAAUUUUGAAGAACGCUACUCAGUCAAUUUUGUAGUGUAACUAGGUCAAAAUUUCAAUGUACAAAACCAGAAUCUCACCCACAGGUUAGCUAACCGCACUAUGGUUAAAUGACAAUAACUCAGGCUGCCGAAGUCCGAUUGAGGCGUUUCUAGGGGCGUUGGAAAGCUAAGACAUAUAAAUACAACUUCUCUGUUUUGACCAAAGGUUAAAUUAGUACGUAUCAAAAUAAAACGACACGGUCAGAUUGGGUGAAAUGUCAACCCUGUUCACCGACCUCUACCUAUGGCAGUCCGGGUAUUUCUGUCUUUUCACAGGCUAGAGAGCUCGGAUUGAUCUGAAAUUUUACAGGAAAUUAUCAAACAUCAUUUCCUACAACUUUCAUGUUUUAACCUAAGGCUGAAUCGUCCUCCAUAUUGGCUAAAAAAAAUCGGACAGAACAGGGGUAGGCGAAACCCUAACCUGGAAAUUUUGCACCAAACCAGAAUUUUCGCACAAUCAAUCAUAUCCCACAUAUAUCAACUCCAUUUUACACUAUAACUAACCAUCAAUCCAUAACUAACCAAUACUAAACAUAUGAAAACAGAAAAAUCAUGAAUAAAAUAAAAAUCCACCAAUCUCAACCAAAAGUCAUGAAAUCAUCCAUAAAAUCACUUAUUCAACUACUACCAAUCACUAAUUGAACAUUAUCAAGAUCAGAGGAAAGAUUCCUUAACCACUUACCUUGUAAACUCAAGAAAAGAAGCAACUUAACACCUUUGCUUCUCAAACCACUUCACCACUCACCUUAAUUCUACCAAGAGAAAGGUUUUUAUGGAGCAAAUCAAAGUUUUAACGGUUGGUUUGUGAGAUCAAGGCAAGAAAUUGAAGAAAGAAGUUGGAAGUUUUCUCUUCUUUUUCCUCCAAGAAGCUCGGCCAAAAGAGGGAGAAAUAAGAUGAUUUUUUGGUCAAUUUUUGGUUAUGUAAUAAAGGUGAUAAAAUGGUCAAAGUCCAUGUCCAAUGGAAAAGUGCCACCUAGCACCUUUUAGUUCACAAUUAUCCUUUUGUCUCUCCACAUUAAUCCAUUUAUGUAACCUCCAAUUAUCUCUUAGCACCUCGUAAAUUAAUCCCUGUAAUAACCACUUAACCUCAUUGAUCAAAAUUUUAGCGUACUUACCGCACUAGCGGGUCCCACGUCCAAUAUACACUUCUAAAAUCUCAUGAACUAACUUAUACCAAAAAAUGAUUUAAAAACUAUAUUUACUCAUAAAAUUAUAUAAAAAAUUUUCCUAAUCUAGUACAUAUGAAAAACAUGCAAUUCAAUAAAAUAAAACCUAGAAAAUAAGAAAAUUUACGGGCUCUCACACUCUCUCCCCCUUAAAAGAAUUUCGCCCUCGAAAUUUCUCAUCUUGAUUCCCGAAUAGGUCAGGGUAUUUCCUUUGCAUUUCUUCUUCCACCUCCCAGGUAGCCUCCUCUACCCCACGAUUUCUCCACAAUAUCUUUACCAAAGGAAUCUGUUUGUUUCUCAGUUCCUUAACUUUUCGGUCUAGUAACUGUACAGAUUUCUCUUCAUAAGUGAGCGAUUCAUCUAUUUCGAUUUCCUACGGUUGUAAGAUAUGGGAUGGGUACUUCUUAAGCAUCGAGAUGUGGAAGACGUUGUGAAUUCUGGAUAGACUGGACGGUAGUUCAAGGCGAUAGGCUACUUUACCAACCCUUUGGAGAAUCGUAAAAGGUCCGACGAACCUCAGUUGCAAUUUCUUUCCUCUACCUACUGUAAUGCUCCGUAAUGGAGUGAGCUUGAGGAAAACACGGUCUCCAACUUCGAACUCUAAGUCUUUUCUUCGAUUAUCCGCGUAGCUAUUUUGUCGGCUUUGAGCUGUUUGGAGUCUUUGUCGUAUCAACUUGACCUUUUCUCGUGCCUCCUCCAUCCAUGGAAUGGCCAUUGGAUCCAGGAUUUUCCUCUCGCCGACUUCAUCCCAGUAAAUCGGUGACCGGCACUUCCUCCCAUAUGGUGCCUCGUAUGGAGCCAUUUGAAUUGACGAAUGGUAGAUGUUAUUGUACGCAAACUCCACUAAGGUCAUGUGUUGACCCCAGUUACCCCUAAAAUUCAGAAUACAGGUCCUUAACAUGUCCUCAAGAGUUUGGAUUGUUCGCUCCGAUUGUCCAUCCGUCUGAGGGUGAUAGGUGGUGCUUAGGUUGAGUUUAGUCCCUAGAGUCUCCUGAAACUUCUGCCCAAACCUAGAUACGAAACGGGGAUCUCUGUCGGAGACGAUGCUCGUAGGAACGCCAUGUAGCCUUACGAUCUCGUCCAUGUACACCUGAGCCAAUUUUUCCAUGGAAUACUUCAUAUUUACCGGCAAGAAAUGAGCCGAUUUGGUUAAUCGAUCAACGAUUACCCACACGGCAUCGUGUCCUUUUUGGGUUCGCGGCAACCCCGAUAUGAAGUCCAUGGUAACGUUUUCCCACUUCCAUUCGGGUAUCUCAAGAGGUUGUAAUAAGCCUGAUGGUUUUUAAUGCUCCGCCUUGACUUGUUGGCAAACAAGACAUUUCUGCACGUACAAAGCGAUUUCCUUCUUCAUAUUGUCCCACCAAUAUGCUCCUUUUAGGUCUUGAUACAUCUUGCUACUACCCGGAUGGAUCGUAUACUUGGACCGAUGAGCUUCUUCUAAGAUCUCCGUUUUUAACGUUUCAUCUUUAGGUACCACCACUCGGUUUCAGUAUUUUAGAAUACCCUCGGGACUAAAUUUGAAGUCGGUCGAUUCUCUUUUGUUCACCUUUUCUCCCCACUUCUGCACCAUCGAAUCCUCCUUUUGCGCUUCCUUAAUUCGUCCUAGUAGGGUGGAUGUUACUUUAAUAUUACUAAAAACCACCUUAUAACUCCCAAGGCAGGGUUUCCACUCACAAACGGAUUCUAACAAAUCUCAUUCCUUAAUCAUUAACCCUGCUACUUGAGCCUUUCGACUUAAGGCAUCAGCCACCACGUUCGCUUUUCCCGGAUGAUAGUUGAUGGUGCAGUCGUAGUCCUCCAGAAAUUCUAUCCACCGUCGCUGCCUCAUGUUUAAUUCCUUCUGCGAGAAGAGGUAUCUAAGGCUCUUAUGGUCUGAGUACACCUCGAACGUUACCCCGUAUAGAUAAUGCCUCCACUUUUUCAGAGCGAAAACAACCGCGGCUAACUCAAGAUCGUGGGUUGGGUAGUUCUGCUCGUGGGGUUUCAACUUCCUAGAGGCAAAAGAUAUCACAUUCCGGUUUUGCAUCAGCACACAUCCCAGACCUUCCUGCGACUCAUCGGUGUAAACGGUGAACCCGUCUACUCCGUUAGGCAAAGCUAGAACUGGCGCCAUCGUUAAUCUUUUCUUUAACUCUUGAAAACUCGCUUCGCAUUUGGCAUCCCACACAAACCGACCAUGUUUCUUCGUCAGGUCGGUUAAAGGACCGGUCAGUUUGGAAAAGUCUUUAAUGAAACGCCGGUAGUACCCAACUAACCCUAGAAAACUACGAAUCUCCAUGGGGUUCUCUGGCCUCUUCCAAUUAGUCACGGCCUCUACUUUCGCCGGGUCAACCGAAAUGCCUUCUUGGGAAAUUAUGUGCCCUAAAAAGGAAAUUUUCUCCAGCCAAAAUUCGUACUUGCUGAACUUGGCGUACAACUGAUGCUUUCUUAGGGUUUGCAAGACGAUUCUCAAGUGUUGCUCAUGCUCCUCACGCGUCUUGGAGUAAACCAGGAUGUCAUCGAUAAAGACCACGACAAAUCGAUCAAAAUAGGGCUUAAAAAUCCUGUGCAUUAGAUCCAUGAAGGCGGCAGGGGCAUUGGUCACUCCAAAGGGCAUGACCGUGAACUCGUAGUGCCCAUAUCUCGAGUUGAAAGCAGUUUUCGGGAUAUCCUCUUUCCUAAUCAACAACUGGUAAUACCCCCGUCGAAGAUCUAACUUCGAGAAGACCACUGUUCCUUGCAACUGGUCGAACAACUCAUCAAUAUGGGGUAGUGGAUACUUAUUUUUAAUCGUGACAUUGUUCAGCCCCCGGUAGUCUAUACACAUCCGCAGACCCCCGUCCUUCUUCUUCACAAACAGUACAGGGCCCACCCAAGGAGAUCCACUCUCUUGAAUGAACCCCCGCUCCAAAAGAUCUUGUAACUGCAAUUUCAACUCCUUAAGCUCAGCAGGUGCCAUCCGAUACUGGGUUUUUGAGAUAAGUGACGUUCCAGGUAACAAGUCAAUUUUGAACUCUAUCUCUCUCUCUGGAGGUAGGGCUACUAACUCAUCAGGGAAUACAUCUGGAUAUUCCUUCACUAUGUGCACAUCCUCUACCUUCAAUUUAUCGGUGGGGGUAUUGAUUAGAAAGACUAAGAACCCUUGCACGUCUCUACUUAGUAAUUUCCUAGCCCGAAUGCCCGAGAUCAAGGCAGAUGAGGCUAACCUACCCCUUAUAUCCAAUCUUAAGGUUGUCUCACCAGGUAUGCGAAAUUCUACCACCUUCUUUUUACAAUCUAGUUGGGCAUUAUACCUGGCUAGCCAGUCCAUGCCCAAGAUCACGUCAUACCCCUUAAUGGACAGGCUUAUCAAAUCUCCUAACAAUCUCCUCUCUCCUACCCAAACUUCACAAUCCUUAUAAACCAUACUAGUAACCAAACGCUGAUCCCCCGUAGGCGUAUUAACAUCUAGGUCAUAAGGUAAACUAGCAGGUUUUAUAUCAAUGCCACACAUGAAAUUGGGGUUAACAAAGGAAUGGGUGGCACCGGGAUCUACUAAGACCUUUGCAAAGCGGUGGAAUACAGGGAUCGUAUCUUCUACGAUCUCAGAGGAAUCUGGGACCUGUUGAGGCUCUAACGAGUACACUCGGGCCGCUACCUUGGGCUUUAUCCCGUUUCUCUUAACUGGUCCAGUGUUGGUCCUCGGUGGUUGCUGACUUCCCUUUCCAUCUUGUUUUAGGAUUGGGCAGGUGGCAAGCUGAUGGUCUGCGCUUUCGGAACGCAGACACUUUCCCUCCUUCUUCUAGCAGUUGUCCUCAGUGUGGUUUAGCUUUCCGCAAUACUCACAGGGUCCACGGGAUGCCGAACCCGAACCUUUCUGGAAACUUCCUCCCUGGCCUUUCCCAGUCGGGCCAUCCCUAGACUGAGCCCCUCUACCUGCGCCCGUCUGCCUUCCACCUCCGGCUCCCCAUCCGUACUUGGGAGGGGCACUCUUAUCCCUCUGCCCUGAACUGCUCCCAGGAAAGCCUCGCUUCUUUGCCUGGAAGUUUCUCACUUGUAGCCUAGCGUUUUCCACCCGCUGGGCUUUCUCCACGGCCUCGCUAAAAGCAUUAAUUUGGGCCACCGCAAGGUCCUUUGGUAUUUUCACAUUCAGGCCCUGGAUAAAACGCCUUAUCCGCAGUUGCUCGGUCACGAUUAGCUCGGGGGCAAAUUUGGAUAAGCGGGUGAACUGGCUGUCAUACUCCGCUACAGACUGAGCUCCCUGACGAAGCUGAAUAAAUUCAUCUUCCUUCCGUUCCUGAACUAGAGGAGGGAAGAAUUUAGCGUUGAACUCUCGCAUAAAGUUCACCCAGGUCCGGGGCGUUUGCUCCCGUUCCCACUUCUGCCGGAUGACGUUCCACCAGGAAUGGGCCGCCUCUUCCAGUUGAAAGACGGCGAAGGUCACCUGUCUCUCCUUGGUGUAGUACAGGGCAGCAAAAAUAUCCAUCAUUUUCUCUAACCACCUUUCGGCUACAUCUGGAUCGGGACCCCCAAGGAACUUUGAUGGGGCAAAUUUCUGAAAUCUCUCGAGGGCCCUGUCCUCGCUCUCCACAUGGUUGCCAGGGUUUCCCGGGUUAGGAUUAGGGUUUUGAGCCUGUUGCUGCACCACUUGGGUUAGCAAGUUAGUCAUUUGCUGCAUGGCAGCAGCUAUUUGAAUAUUGGGAUCAACCCUAGGUUCAGGGUUUGGUCCAGACGAGGUUUUCCCAGUGCCCCUUACAGACGUGGGUUGCCUACUCCCGCGUCCACGGCCUCGACCACUACGUGUUCCUUCCAUAGAGUUUAGUCGAGUCAAUCUAGGGUACAACGUAAAUAGAAUAUUAAAGAUUACGGUAAACAUAAGUAAGAAACCAGAAGCUAUUCACAAUCAAAAUGUGACACCCCAACUUUUAAGAUGCUAUUGUUUUACGGUUUCUUUAGUUCAUUUUAUUUUAAAACAUUAUUUUGUUUCAGGGAAGAUACUAAAGUUAUUUCUUUGGGUUUGAUUUAAAAUCUUAUUUUGUUUUAAAAUACUAGAAACCCUAAAAUUUUAAUCAAAAACCCUAGUUUACUUGUGACUAUGUUUAAAUCCCUCAUAUUUGACUCAAAACCCUAAUUUUAUUUUAUGGAAUUGUAAAAUUCAUCACACUUUUCUUAAAAUUCCUUUUAUUUGGAAAUUAUUUAUUUAAUAUGAUCCUCCUACUCAAGUACUCCGCAAUAAGUGUAAAUAAACCUAGAAAGUAGGGUUUCACUCUUCGUUUUCAAGAUUGGAGCAAAUUAGGGUUUUCGCGAUUUUUCGCCGGAUGAAAUUUCGGUAUGGAGCAAGGAUCAAAUUUGGUGAUUAAAAAUGACUUUUAAGUGAGAAAUAAUAUGUAAUUAGAAGCAAUGAUACAAGGUUAGUGAAUAGGAAGUAAAAACCCUAGUACGUGUGUUUUUAAGAAAAACGGCGCGAACCGGAUGGUCCCGCGCAUUACCGAUUGAACGCACCACUUGACCACCACUUUCUUCCCAUACAAGUCUAUUGAUAUUUGAGCAAAAUAUCUCCCAAUUUACAGCUAAGCUUGACCGAAAUUUGUGGCUCAAAUGCAAGGAAGGAAAGAGAAAAUUUUUGUGGUUGAGGUUAAGCCAAGUGUUGGCCAAACUUGUGGUUAGAAUUAAUUAUUAUCUUUCUACCUUCUUAUAAGACAAACUUAGCUUAAUCUCCUUCAUUAUUUUCUGCAUCUUGGCCGAGUAAGGAGAGAGAGAAAGGGAGAGCAAGAGUUGCACCAUUUUCUUCUUGAUUUACACCAACCAAGUGCUAAAAUCGAAUUCUAAACCGAUUGAUCGUAAGUUUGGAAGCUUGGGAAGCUAAGGGAACCAAAAAUUUCAAGAAAUAGUGGAGGAUCACUCUUGCAAGCCUUCUUUUUGAGGUAUAAAAUCUGAUCUAUGGCUUUGAUCCUUUUAUUCUUGUUUAAGAUGUUAAAUAGUUCAUGUUUUGGUUAGAUUACAAGUUAUGCAAGUUGAUGUGAUGAUUUUGGAUGAGAUAGGUAAGUUAGGGUUUGAUUAAUUUCUGCCUAUACUUGAUGUAUGAUUGAUAUAUGUUGUAUCCAAAGUUAUAUAGGGGGUUUUGGUAGCAAGUGUAGCAAGAAAUUAAGAAAACUAUCAUUGAAACCAAAAGAUUCCAGAUUUCUGGAAAAUUUUUCCCCUUUCUGUCCGUUUUUGUUGCACCAUGUUAGAGGCCGAAUUGGCCUUAUCUUAAAACAUGAAAGUUGUAUGAAAUGACAUUUUAUAGGUACCUGAAAAAUUUCAGGACAAUCGGAGUAGCGUAGAAUGAGAAAAGUCGAAAUUACCCUUGCUGUCCUGUUUCUACCCGAACCUGAGAACUGCGAUUGUAAUUGGUUAUUUUGGUUUGGAAUGUUUCAGAAUUGGUUGUUUAGGUCUUCUGAUGAAAUGUAUCCCUGUUUCUAAGCUUUUGUAUGGCUUUGGAAUUUCUGGAUUUGGACUUAUGUAGGCUGUUUUAUGAUGUUUGUACUAGAUUACGGUUUGUGAACCUGUUUUGCGAUUCUGGUGUACUAUGUUACAUUUUUGACGUAGUUACACUUGAAAUUUGACUAAGUGGCCUUCUUCAACAUUGUAGCCUCUUAGGUCUUGAAUAUUCCUGUAAAAUUUCGGGUCAAACGGAUUAGUGUAUCAUGAGUUAUAGAUGAAAUACUCAAGCCUGUUUUGAACAUCAGGUUCUGUGCGUUUUUAGUUUAGCUUCUGUCCGUGACUUUUUUCGGUUUUGAUCCCGUACGAUCUGGGUUUUGACUCCUUCAUAAGAAAUGUAGAUCUUGAUUUUGGAUUCGAAACGGUAUAAAGUGCGUCGAAAUCCGAGUUCCGUAGCUCCUGUUAUGACCAAAACAAAAUCGAUCAUCAGAACUGCCUUGAAUCUGGACAGUUCUGACGAGUACUUUGACACUCAAAUUUCGUUCUGUUCUGAGUGGAUUCAGGUCUUGGCCAAAACAUCAAAGUUUUAGCCUUAUGUCUCAGCUUUCUAAUUCAUUUGGAAUUUCCUGAUUUGGAUUUGUGAGCUGGGAGUUAUAGUCCAGCAAACAUACCCUGUCCGUUACUCUGGAGUGCAAAUUCCUGGAACGGUUUUCUGCACUUUCGACCUAUUUAUGUUCAGAUCCGUAUUUAGGUGUCUUCAUGAAAAUUGUAGCCCUUCCUCUUAGCUUCGCAACGGUACUUCAUGAACCUUGAUCCGACACUCAUAGCUUCGAUUAGGUUCAAAACAGUUUUGACGGCAAAAUGGCUAGGCCGCCAUUCCCGUUUCCGUGUGUCGUUUCCGCACUCGUAUGUGCCGAUUUUGCCGUUUUGCUUGUUUUAGGAAUAUUAGUAGCCGUUUAUGAUAUUUUGUGAUGCAAUCUUCUAUUUCAGACGGUGGUGAGCUACGUGGAGCCGGUGGGGCCUACUAGCUACUCUUCGCGGCACAAAUUUUGAAUUUUGCUCUUUUGUUCGUUGUGUAAGUAUUCAGGCCGCUCUUGUGUGUUAGUUGCUUAUGUGUUUCGAUAUGUAUGAAGAGGGUACCUAGGCGAGGGUGUACUUUAUCGCACUCGACCUAAACCUUAACUUGCGCACAUAUUUGUACAUGGCUUGUGUAUAUGAGCAAUUUUGAAACUAAAACCCUUGAGCUUGUGGCUCGGGGUGACUUUUGAAUAAUUUUGUGAAGUUUGUGAGUUUAGGGUUGAUCUUCCGACCUAGAUGGACUAUUCAAGCCGGUCAGGGCUUGGUCGAAGCCAGUCCAACUUAGUCUGAGGUCACCAAGUUUGUGAAUCCGGUUCACCGAGAAUGUGGACCAAGUUUGUGACCCGAGCUUGUGAACCAAGCUCAAGUUUGUGAUUUCGUUCGCUCGAGCAAGUUUGUGAGGUGCCUGGCCAGAGAGGGUGAUAAGGUGUACGGUGGGUGUACAAGUGAAGUUCUACGGACCAUUAUUUGAGGUCGACGGAGUGUCGGCAGGAGGUCACACAUGGCAAACGAUCUGGCUUUGGAGCCACCCGUAUCCUUACUAUGUGAUGUUAUCUUUCUGCUUUUGCUUUACUCUUACCAUAUAAUUGGUUGUUACGUGAAAAUUUACGCUUUUCCUCCUGUUUACUUACUAAGCAUAUAGCUUACCCCGUUCCAUUUGUUUUCCUUAGCAGGGGGACGGCACGGGGAUCGCUCGGGAAGGUGGUUAGAUUUUGAGCUAUAGAAUACUUGAAUUUGUAUUUGUUAAAAGUUGACGAGUAAGAUGUACAUAGUUGGCGUGGUGGUUGUAGUUAUCAGUUUUUCUAGGUUUUACUUUUUGGUACUUGUGAUAUGUAAUUCUUGGAGAAUUGAAUGUAAUAUUUGAGAUUUAUCUUAUACUUCAUUGGAGGACUUUAGUGAGUGAGUGAGUCCCGGCGAGAGCUGGGCAGGCGACCCGCCGAACCCUGGGGUACGCCCUAGGGGAAAGUGGGGCCGUCACACAAAACAUAUUUACAUAUCCCACACAGUGGCAAACAAGUCACAUAUUAACAGUCAGUCGAUUACAAACAAGGAAAUUCCAUGAGGCAACAGAAUCAUCAAAAGAUAUAAUUACAAAGCUAGUCCAAACACACAAAAAUGGCUAGCUAAGGGGUCUUUUCUUCAUCUCCUGUCCCCAUGGAACCAAAAGUAGCUCAAAACGUCCUAGCCUAGUUCCCGACAGAGCCCACAGACUCCCCCCCCUUGGCUAGAACUAGGGGUACUCCCUUCACUAGGCGGGUUAACACUCGGAGCCCCAACUUGCGCGUUGGAGCCAAUCACACCUUGGAUCAGCGCCUCGCACUCAUUAAUAAUGCCGCCAGAGCUGUCCCUAACCUCCCGGACGACAUUAGUAAGACGAUUAUUGACCCCUUGCAACUGCUCCCUAAGAGCUUCGGUUCGUUCUUGCUCCACAGCUAUGUCCUCUCGGAGCUCCCCUAUCCGAUCCGUUUGCAUCCUCAUGAUGCCUCUCAGCCUAAGCAUCUCCGUGUGGUCCCUGGCGACGGCCCGUCUAAGCCUCCUCCGUUCAUCUAGUACCGCCACGACCACGUGGUCCGCAUAAGAGUGACUCUGGCAACGCCUACAGCGACGGGUCCGACUGGCGGUGUACCAGAGCCGGAUCGGACCUCCUGGCCUCUCCUGAUAAUCGAUAACGCGUGGGCGUCUCCUAGGCGGCUCACCUCCACCCGCACCACUGGUUCCGGCCAUAACCUACAAGGAUAGCACUAGGAUUCAUAUCUUAAACAACGUAAACAUAAUCACACCUAAUGGUACCUUAACACUUCCCUCACAGGUCCUAAGGAACAAACUUCAAUCUUGCCUAGGUCACUUCUAACCUAGGCUCUGAUACCACCUGUGACAGCCCCACUUUUCCCUAAGGCGUACCAAAGGGGUUUGCGGACUGCCUGCCCAACUCUCGCCAGGACUAACGAGGCAGUUAAAUACGAUCUAAAACGUUCCAAAAGGUAAUAGCAUGCUAAAUCUAUUCAAAAUUGUAAAAUAGCAAAACGAAAAUCAAAACAGCCAAUACAUAGUGGGUGCCAUGUCAUAUAACUCGGGAAAACAUUUCCAAACCAAAUAGGAUACAUGAACAGAGUUAAACAGCAUUAUACCCAUAGGUUUGUCAUUUUCAACACAAAAGGAAGAUAAUUAAAUCAAAAUACAUUUGGGAUUUUUCCAACUAUCGAGGAGCUUCACAAAAAUAUAUUAAAACUAGCUCAACUCGUGCUUCAGAACAUCAUAGUCCCCAAAAGUGGUUCCCUGUAAGGAAAACAAAAUUUAAUGGAGUGAGCUUUCGCCCAAUGAGGUAUCAUCACGCAAGUAAACAAAAAAUUCACAUAAGCACAAAGUUGCUCAAUCCAAGUACGUUCAAUAAAUGAAUCAACUGGCACCACGUUUCAAUAAAGAUUUCUAAAGGAUACGAUCGGCUCUCAAGAGCCCUUUUCCUCACUUGCCGUACUUGAUCUCGCCCCGUUGACCCUCCGUCAAUGUUUAAGGAGUAACCAAUAUCAUAGACUCCACUUUCUCCGAUUCCUUCCACCUCACAUACCCCUACCGGGCCCAAACUCCAACCAGUUCAGUAAUGGUAAUACUCGAGUAUACCGGAAUCAAGAGUCUCAUACCCAUCGAUUCCUUAGAAACAGUUCCCCAUGGCUUAUCAAUUUCCUCGACCAAGCCCUUGCUGGCUCGAUUCAAUUGACCACCAAUGGGGUUGAGCUCAGAAUCAACAGUAUAAGUCAUUGGAUACACGUCCAAACGACACCAAUUCAAGUAUAAUCAAGACAAUUCAAGUGAUACAGUAAACAGUCAAUUAAGCCAUAGAGUACGAGAGUGGUAAAGUACACCCUCGUCUCAAUCAGUAUCAUCAUUAAACACAAACAUUCCACUCAUACAUCUCAAGUAUAACAAAGCCAAGAAGUAUCAAUCAUGUGAGUAGUACACACACCACCCAAGCAAAGAGAGUUAUCACAAAUUUCUGUCCGACGAGUGCCUUGCGUCACCAGCACGCCCUAAAACAUUCAAUAAAACACAAUAAGACUCGAUUACGAGUCAUAAACCAAAUCCACACACUGCCAAAAAUAAGGCCCCAUUAGAACGUAUAAGUACAAAAUUAAGCUAGGAAAAGUCCGGAAAUGAUAGUUAAGCCCUAAAACCCAAAAACAGAUUUGACGUCGUUUAGCGUAUCGGACACAACCGAAGCUACGCUUGUCGGAUUGGUGUGUAAUUUAUACCGUUUCGAAGCUAAGAUAAAGGGAUACAAUUUUAAAGAAGGCCACUCAGUCCAGUUUGUAGUGUAACUAGGUCAAAAUUUCAAUGUACAAAACCAGAAUCUCACCCACAGGUUAGCUAACCGCACUAUGGUUAAAUGGCAAUAACUCAGGCUACCGAAAUCCGAUUGAGGCGUUUCCUGGGACGUUGGAAAGCUAAGACAUAGAACUAAAACUUCUAUGUUUUGACCAAAGGUUGAAUCAGUACGCAUCAAACUAAACAGACACGGUCAGAUUGGGUGAAAUGUCAACCCUGUUCACCGACCUCUACCUACGGCAGUCCGGGUAUUUCUGUUUUUUCACAAGCUACAGAUCUCGGAUUGAUCUAAAAUUUUACAGGAGACUAUAAAACAUCAUUUUCUACAACUUUAAUGUUUUAACCUAAGGCUGAAUCGGCCUCGAUAUUGGCUAAAAAAAACCGGGCAGAGCAGGGGUAGGCGAACCCUAACCUGGAAAUUUCGCACCAAACCAGAAUUUUCGCACAAUCAAUCAUAUCCCACAUAUAUCAACUCCAUUUUACACAAUAACUAGCCAUCAAUCCAUAACUAACUAACACUAAACAUAUGAAAACAAAAAAAUCAUGAAUAAAAUAAAAAUUCACCAAUCUCAACCAAAAGUCAUGAAAUUAUCCAUAAAAUCACAUAUUCAACUACUACCAAUCACUAAUUGAACAUUAUCAAGAUCAAAGGAAAGAUUCCUUAACCACUUACCUUGUAAACUCAAGAAAAGAAGCAACUUAGCACCUUUGCUUCUCAAAUCACUUCACCACUCACCUUAAUCCGACCAAGAGAAAGGUUUUUAUGGAGCAAAUCAAAUUUUUAACGGUUGGUUUGUGAGAUCAAGGCAAGAAAUUGAAGAAAAAAGUUGGAAGUUUUCUCUUCUUUUUCCUCCAAGAAGCUCGGCCAAAAGAGGGAGAAAUAAGAUGAUUUUUUGGUCAAUUUUUGGUUAUGUAAUAAAGGUGAUAAAAUGGUCAAAGUCCAUGUCCAAUAGAAAAGUGCCACCUAGCACCUUUUAGUUCACAAUUAUCCUUUGGUCUCUCCACAUUAAUCCAUUUAUGUAACCUCCAAUUAUCUCUUAGCAACUCGUAAAUUAAUCCUUGUAUACACCACUUAACCUCAUUGAUCAAAAUUUUAGCGCACUUACCGCACUAGCGGGUCCCACGUCCAAUAUACACUUCUAAAAUCUCAUGAACUAACUUAUACCAGAAAAUGAUUUAAAAACUAUAUUUACUCAUAAAAUUAUAUAGAAAAUUUUCCUAAUCUAUAACAUAUGAAAAACGUGCAAUUCAAUAAAAUAAAACCUAGAAAAUAAGAAAAUUUACGGGCUCUCACACGUUUUACACUUGAAUUUAGAGAUGAAAACCAGAUUUCUCUUGUACUUUAAAACCUCGCCUUUGAGCCUCGAUUUACCAGUAAAUAGGGCUUAUUUUCAUGUGAUUUUCUUAGAUUGUACUCUAGUACAAUCUUCUUCGAUAAUUGGGGUUUAUGAGUGAUAGAUUAUUAUUAAUUGCUCAGGCACGCAAGAGGACCUUCAAGGGGAUCUCACAGGAGACGCUUAACUUAUCGCUUGUACUUGCUACUUGAAUCAUUCGGUGAGUGUCAAGUAUGUGAAAACGUGUUAAUUGCUUUGAGAAUAGAAUAUUUUGAAAAUGCUGAGUCGAGUGUGUACUUUAUCAUACUCGUUCUCAUUUAAGUGAAGUGUACUUGAAUUUCGUGACAUGAAAUACUUGAAUUGCUUGAAGUGACUUGUUAAGUGAAUUUUAGUGAAGUGUUUAAGUGAUUAUUUAUGCUAUGGCUACAUAAGUCGAUGGGAGUGAAUCUCCUCGACUCUUAAGUGUUAAGUGGGGGAUGCCCAAAUCUCACUGGCUAACCUUGGACUCGAGCCGGCAUAGGCUUGGUCGGGCUCCUUGGCGAACCAUGAGAAAUAAAAGCUUGACCUAUUAAGAGGUCUUGCUUGGCAUACUCGAGCAGUAUUGCCUCAAACAAAAGACAGGCGGGCCUGAUAUAGGGGUAUGUAAGGUGAAAGGGGACAUGAUAAGUGAAGUUCUACGGACUAAACCUACCCGAUUGACGGAGUGUCAACUCGUGGAGGUUCGUGAUCGUGCAAGUGAAAAAUAGCUCCUGAGAGCUCCUAUAUCCUUGAAUUGUUUCUGUUUACUUUUCUCGCUCGAAUUGUUAUUUAUUGCAAUAUUAUUGCUCUACUUGUUAAAUUGGGAUUGUUACUUGAACAUCGUGCCCGCAUGUGUGUUCUUGGCCUCACGAGCGUUUUGCUCACCCUGUGGAUUUGUUUUCCUUAACAUGGAAGGAUCUGGAGUGAAUCUCGGAGACACCCCCUUUGAAUGUACUUUUGUAUUAGGGUUUUCAAUGUACUGGGUUAGACUCUUGAUUAUUGUAUAUUUUGAGAUUUGAUAUAACCUUUGAGAACUUGAUGUAAGGAUUGGAUACUUGACGUAUUUUGGAACUCGUGAUGUAUAUUUGAAUGUUAUUUAUGGGAGUGACCUCCCUUUCUUACUUAUAUCAUCGUGUUGGCAGGUAUUUCAUUAAGCUUGAACGGGAAUUGUCUUGAGUCCUGGCGAGAGCUGGGCAGGCGUCCCGUGGAUAACCUUUCGUUCGCCUUAGGGAGAAGUGGGGGCGUCGCAGUUGCUAUCAGAUCUUAACCAAUUUCUCUCCAUUUUAAGCUUCUCUUGGCCGAACCUCUUGGAGCAAAAAUACAAGAAGAAAGCCUUCAACUCCAUUUCUUGCUCAAUCUUGUGAAUCAACCGUUAAACUUUCAAAUUCCUCCACAAAAGUCACUUGUUUGGGAAGAUUGAAGGUAGUGGUGGAGUGAUUAGAGAAGGCAAAGGACUAAGCCAUCAACUUUCUUGAUAUUUCAAGGUUCAUGUCUAGCAAUCCUUUCUUUGUUCUUGAUUAUGCUAAAUUAGUGACUUGUGAUGGCUAAAGAGAUGGUUUGAUGGAUUAUAUCUUGAGUUGUGGUUGACUUGAUGAAGUUUUAUUAUUUUUGGGGAUUUUUCUGUUUUAAUACGAACAUGGUUGUGUGGUUAUAUAUGAUUAUUGGAAAUGAUUUUUAAGGACUCUGUGAGGUGGAAAAAGUGGUUAAUUGCAAACAAUUUCUGUUUUGGAAGAAAUCUUGGAAAGUUAGGGUUUGAUGUUCUUCAUUCUGCCCGAAUUUGUAGCUCCUAGUUAGAGGCCGAAUUGGCCUUGGCUUAAAACAUGAAAGUUGUAGGGAAUGACAUUUUAGAGGUGUCUACAAAAUUUCAGGUCAAUCGGAGUAGUUUAGAAUGAGAAAAGUCCAAAUUACUAUUGCUGUUCUGGUUUUACCCGAAUGUAAGAAUUGCGCCUGUAAUUGGUUGUUGUGGCUGGAAUUGCUUCGGAAUUGGUUGUUGAGGUCUUCUGAUGAAAUUUAGCCCUGUUUCUUAUAUUUCAGCUGGUUUUGGAAUUUCUUGAUUUGGACUUGGAUAGCCUGGUUUAUGAUGUUUCUGCUAGAAUGCGUUCUGUGAAUCUGGUGUAGUAUCUUGCAUUUUUGACCUGGUUACACUCGAAACUGGGUUGAGUGACCUUCUGAAAUAUUGUAGCCCUGUCUCUUAGCUUCGAAACGGUGGGUCUUGCACCUUCAUCCGAUAAUCGUAGCGUCUUUGAUACCAUUACCGCAAAAUGACGUCAAAACCUGUUUUUCUGGUUUUGAGCUUAACUUUCAUUUCCAGACUUUUCCCUAGCUUGACUUGUACUAGUACUACUUGGAGCUUGCUGAAUGGCUAUUGGAUGAAAUUGUUGUUGUGUGUGUACCUUUGGGUUUGAAUGAAGCCAUGAUGGCUGGAAAAGUUUGCAAAUUCAGGGGAAGUGCUGUCCGAACUUUGAAGGGAUUUGUUUGCAUUGAGUUUGUGAUCUUAGACUUGGAUUUGAGCAAGGCAAUGUUAUAUGAUGGAUGAUUUCUGAGCCGUGGAGGUGAGUGACCCUAAACUAUUUCCAAAGUACUUGUGAAAUGUUUCUUGCAUUAUGUACUCGAUUGCAUAUCAUGCGUGCUUGCAUGUGAGUUCAUGACAUGAUUUGGCUUCAAUGAGUUCUGGGAAAGUCUUGUGCUGGACACCAACGUCUCCACUCUGUUUAUGGUUCAUGUUCAUGUUUAUCUGGAGCUCAAGAAGGGGCUCCCUCUUAAUGUUAAUGUUAAUCUUAAAUGAUCUAUUUGAGCGUUGGUUGUUCAAGUGCUAUGAUUUCCCUGGCUCACGAGAGCACUAAACGAACAUUUGAUCUCUGAAUCAUGACAUCAUCGAAAUGAUCGAAAUGCAACAUUGUGAAAUAUAUUUGUUUAAGGAUUUUACUGGUUACUCGCUGAGCUUCUAGCUCACCCCAAAAAUAUUUUAUUCCCCUCCACAGGGCUCAAAGCGAAGGAAGGUCUUGUUGUGCUUAUUAACAUGUCUGGAUGGCCUAUGUUUUGUACAGUUUGGAUUUGGAAAUCAUUUUAUGUAUAGUUGAGAAUUAUUUCCGCUUCGCUUUUGACAUGUAAUUAUUGGAGAAUUUGAUGUAAUACUUGAGGUUUAUUCUUGUAAUCUGUUUGAGGAUUGUAGUGAACGACUGAGUCCCGGCGAGAGCUGGGCAGGCGGCCCGCCGAACCCUCUGGUUCGCCUUAGGGGGAGGUGGGGCUGUCACAGUUGGUAUCAGAGCCAUAUGCCGACAGUUGGGACUUUAAGUCCUUCGUCUGGAAAAGCCCCGAGCCUCUCGUUCGUGAAGAGUCACGAAGCGAAACUCUCCGUAGGGGAUGCCCGCGUGCGGGUGGCAAGCUGAUAGGUACCCCGUGAUGUGACCCUGAGAACUGUCACAGGUGGUAUCAGAGCUUAGGCUUCAGAUCUCUGUGGUGUAUCCUAGGCUUUAAGUUUAGGAUGCCUGACUGUGGGUUUGGUUUGCAAUAUUAGUGAUUCUUGUGGGAUGUCUCGACUUGAUUGGUACAAGAUGGAAUGUCGAGGACGACAUUCUUUUAAGGAGGGGAGAUUGUGACGCCUCGAAAAGAAUGAGUGUGAGAACCCGAAAAUUUUCUAAUUUUCUAGUGUUUAUUUUAUUUAAUCGCCCGCCUUUUCUACAUUUUAUUUAUUAGAAAAAUUCCCCAGAUAAAGUUUAUGAGCAAAGAUAGUUUGAAAAUGAUUUUUCUAGUAUCGGUUAGUUUUUGAGAAAUUAAAAGCGUAUUUUGAACGUGGGACCCGUAAGUGCGGUAAAUGCAUUAUCUUUUUGACAACUUGUUGGAAUUUUGUAUUAAGUGAUAUUAUUUUACAAAGUGUUAAGAUAUUUGUAUUGGAGAGACAAAAAGAUAAGUUUUAAACCAACAGUUGACAUGUGUCACCUUCUUAUUCAAAGUUGGACUUUGACUAAUUUGCAUCACCUUUACUAAACCUCAAAAAAUUGACCAAUUUCUCUCCAUUUUAAGCUUGUCUUGGCCGAACCUCUUGGAGAAAAAAUACAAGAAGAAAGCCUUCAACUCCAUUUCUUGCUCAAUCUUGUGAAUCAACCGUUAAACUUUCAAAUUCCUCCACAAAAGUCACUUGUUUAGGAAGAUUGAAGGUAGUGGUGGAGUGAUUAGAGAAGGCAAAGGACUAAGCCAUCAACUUUCUUGAUAUUUCAAGGUUCAUGUCUAGCAAUCCUUUCUUUGUUCUUGAUUAUGCUAAAUUAGUGACUUGUGAUGGCUAAAGAGAUGGUUUGAUGGAUUAUAUCUUGAGUUGUGGUUGACUUGAUGAAGUUUUAUUAUUUUUGGGGAUUUUUCUGUUUUAAUACGAACAUGGUUGUGUGGUUAUAUAUGAUUAUUGGAAAUGAUGUUUAAGGACUCUGUGAGGUGGAAAAAGUGGUUAAUUGCAAACAAUUUCUGUUUUGGAAGAAAUCUUGGAAAGUUAGGGUUUGAUGUUCUUCAUUCUGCCCGAAUUUGUAGCUCCUAGUUAGAGGCCGAAUUGGCCUUGGCUUAAAACAUGAAAGUUGUAGGGAAUGACAUUUUAGAGGUGCCUACAAAAUUUCAGGUCAAUCGGAGUAGUUUAGAAUGAGAAAAGUCCAAAUUACUAUUGCUGUUCUGGUUUUACCCGAAUGUAAGAAUUGCGCCUGUAAUUGGUUGUUGUGGCUGGAAUUGCUUCGGAAUUGGUUGUUGAGGUCUUCUGAUGAAAUUUAGCCCUGUUUCUUAUCUUUCAGCUGGUUUUGGAAUUUCUUGAUUUGGACUUGGAUAGCCUGGUUUAUGAUGUUUCUGCUAGAAUGCGUUCUGUGAAUCUGGUGUAGUAUCUUGCAUUUUUGACCUGGUUACACUCGAAACUGGGUUGAGUGACCUUCUGAAAUAUUGUAGCCCUGUCUCUUAGCUUCGAAACGGUGGGUCUUGCACCUUCAUCCGACAAUCGUAGCGUCUUUGGUACCAUUACCGCAAAAUGACGUCAAAACCUGUUUUUCUGGUUUUGAGCUUAACUUUCAUUUCCGGACUUUUCCCUAGCUUGACUUGUACUAGUACUACUUGGAGCUUGCUGAAUGGCUAUUGGAUGAAAUUGUUGUUGUGUGUGUACCUUUGGGUUUGAAUGAGCAAAAUAAUGAAGCCAUGAUGGCUGGAAAAGUUUGCAAAUUCAGGAGAAGUGCUGUCCGAACUUUGAAGGGAUUUGUUUGCAUUGAGUUUGUGAUCUUAGACUUGGAUUUGAGCAAGGCAAUGUUAUAUGAUGGAUGAUUUCUGAGCCGUGGAGGUGAGUGACCCUAAACUAUUUCCAAAGUACUUGUGAAAUGUUUCUUGCAUUAUGUACUCGAUUGCAUAUCAUGCGUGCUUGCAUGUGAGUUCAUGACAUGAUUUGGCUUCAAUGAGUUCUGGGAAAGUCUUGUGCUGGACACCAACGUCUCCACUCUGUUUAUGGUUCAUGUUCAUGUUUAUCUGGAGCUCAAGAAGGGGCUCCCUCUUAAUGUUAAUGUUAAUGUUAAAUGAUCUAUUUGAGCGUUGGGUGUUCAAGUGCUAUGAUUUCCCUGGCUCACGAGAGCACUAAACGAACAUUUGAUCUCUGAAUCAUGACAUCAUCGAAAUGAUCGAAAUGCAACAUUGUGAAAUAUAUUUGUUUAAGGAUUUUACUGGUUACUCGCUGAGCUUCUAGCUCACCCCAAAAAUAUUUUAUUCCCCUCCACAGGGCUCAAAGCGAAGGAAGGUCUUGUUGUGCUUAUUCACAUGUCUGGAUGGCCUAUGUUUUGUACAGUUUGGAUUUGGAAAUCAUUUUAUGUAUAGUUGAGAAUUAUUUCCGCUUCGCUUUUGACAUGUAAUUAUUGGAGAAUUUGAUGUAAUAUUUGAGGUUUAUUCUUGUAAUCUGUUUGAGGAUUGUAGUGAACGACUGAGUCCCGGCGAGAGCUGGGCAGGCGGCCCGCCGAACCCUCUGGUUCGCCUUAGGGGGAGGUGGGGCUGUCACAGUUGGUAUCAGAGCCAUAUGCCGACAGUUGGGACUUUAAGUCCUUCGUCUGGAAAAGCCCCGAGCCUCUCGUUCGUGAAGAGUCACGAAGCGAAACUCUCCGUAGGGGAUGCCCGCGUGCGGGUGGCAAGCUGAUAGGUACCCCGUGAUGUGACCCUGAGAACUGUCACAGGUGGUAUCAGAGCUUAGGCUUCAGAUCUCUGUGGUGUAUCCUAGGCUUUAAGUUUAGGAUGCCUGACUGUGGGUUUGGUUUGCAAUAUUAGUGAUUCUUGUGGGAUGUCUCGACUUGAUUGGUACAAGAUGGAAUGUCGAGGACGACAUUCUUUUAAGGAGGGGAGAUUGUGACGCCUCGAAAAGAAUGAGUGUGAGAACCCGAAAAUUUUCUAAUUUUCUAGUGUUUAUUUUAUUUAAUCGCCCGCCUUUUCUACAUUUUCUUUAUUAGAAAAAUUCCCCAGAUAAAGUUUAUGAGCAAAGAUAGUUUGAAAAUGAUUUUUCUAGUAUCGGUUAGUUUUUGAGAAAUUAAAAGCGUAUUUUGAACGUGGGACCCGCAAGUGCGGUAAAUGCAUUAUUUUUUGACAACUUGUUGGAAUUUUGUAUUAAGUGAUAUUAUUUUACAAAGUGUUAAGAUAUUUGUAUUGGAGAGACAAAAAGAUAAGUUUUAAACCAAAAGGUGACAUGUGUCACCUUCUUAUUCAAAGUUGGACUUUGACUAAUUUGCAUCACCUUUACUAAACCUCAAAAAAUUGACCAAUUUCUCUCCAUUUUAAGCUUGUCUUGGCCGAACCUCUUGGAGCAAAAAUACAAGAAGAAAGCCUUCAACUCCAACUCCAUUUCUUGCUCAAUCUUGUGAAUCAACCGUUAAACUUUCAAAUUCCUCCACAAAAGUCACUUGUUUAGGAAGAUUGAAGGUAGUGGUGGAGUGAUUAGAGAAGGCAAAGGACUAAGCCAUCAACUUUCUUGAUAUUUCAAGGUUCAUGUCUAGCAAUCCUUUCUUUGUUCUUGAUUAUGCUAAAUUAGUGACUUGUGAUGGCUAAAGAGAUGGUUUGAUGGAUUAUAUCUUGAGUUGUGGUUGACUUGAUGAAGUUUUAUUAUUUUUGGGGAUUUUUCUGUUUUAAUACGAACAUGGUUGUGUGGUUAUAUAUGAUUAUUGGAAAUGAUGUUUAAGGACUCUGUGAGGUGGAAAAAGUGGUUAAUUGCAAACAAUUUCUGUUUUGGAAGAAAUCUUGGAAAGUUAGGGUUUGAUGUUCUUCAUUCUGCCCGAAUUUGUAGCUCCUAGUUAGAGGCCGAAUUGGCCUUGGCUUAAAACAUGAAAGUUGUAGGGAAUGACAUUUUAGAGGUGCCUACAAAAUUUCAGGUCAAUCGGAGUAGUUUAGAAUGAGAAAAGUCCAAAUUACUAUUGCUGUUCUGGUUUUACCCGAAUGUAAGAAUUGCGCCUGUAAUUGGUUGUUGUGGCUGGAAUUGCUUCGGAAUUGGUUGUUGAGGUCUUCUGAUGAAAUUUAGCCCUGUUUCUUAUCUUUCAGCUGGUUUUGGAAUUUCUUGAUUUGGACUUGGAUAGCCUGGUUUAUGAUGUUUCUGCUAGAAUGCGUUCUGUGAAUCUGGUGUAGUAUCUUGCAUUUUUGACCUGGUUACACUCGAAACUGGGUUGAGUGACCUUCUGAAAUAUUGUAGCCCUGUCUCUUAGCUUCGAAACGGUGGGUCUUGCACCUUCAUCCGACAAUCGUAGCGUCUUUGGUACCAUUACCGCAAAAUGACGUCAAAACCUGUUUUUCUGGUUUUGAGCUUAACUUUCAUUUCCGGACUUUUCCCUAGCUUGACUUGUACUAGUACUACUUGGAGCUUGCUGAAUGGCUAUUGGAUGAAAUUGUUGUUGUGUGUGUACCUUUGGGUUUGAAUGAGCAAAAUAAUGAAGCCAUGAUGGCUGGAAAAGUUUGCAAAUUCAGGGGAAGUGCUGUCCGAACUUUGAAGGGAUUUGUUUGCAUUGAGUUUGUGAUCUUAGACUUGGAUUUGAGCAAGGCAAUGUUAUAUGAUGGAUGAUUUCUGAGCCGUGGAGGUGAGUGACCCUAAACUAUUUCCAAAGUACUUGUGAAAUGUUUCUUGCAUUAUGUACUCGAUUGCAUAUCAUGCGUGCUUGCAUGUGAGUUCAUGACAUGAUUUGGCUUCAAUGAGUUCUGGGAAAGUCUUGUGCUGGACACCAACGUCUCCACUCUGUUUAUGGUUCAUGUUCAUGUUUAUCUGGAGCUCAAGAAGGGGCUCCCUCUUAAUGUUAAUGUUAAUGUUAAAUGAUCUAUUUGAGCGUUGGGUGUUCAAGUGCUAUGAUUUCCCUGGCUCACGAGAGCACUAAACGAACAUUUGAUCUCUGAAUCAUGACAUCAUCGAAAUGAUCGAAAUGCAACAUUGUGAAAUAUAUUUGUUUAAGGAUUUUACUGGUUACUCGCUGAGCUUCUAGCUCACCCCAAAAAUAUUUUAUUCCCCUCCACAGGGCUCAAAGCGAAGGAAGGUCUUGUUGUGCUUAUUCACAUGUCUGGAUGGCCUAUGUUUUGUACAGUUUGGAUUUGGAAAUCAUUUUAUGUAUAGUUGAGAAUUAUUUCCGCUUCGCUUUUGACAUGUAAUUAUUGGAGAAUUUGAUGUAAUAUUUGAGGUUUAUUCUUGUAAUCUGUUUGAGGAUUGUAGUGAACGACUGAGUCCCGGCGAGAGCUGGGCAGGCGGCCCGCCGAACCCUCUGGUUCGCCUUAGGGGGAGGUGGGGCUGUCACACCGAAUUUCUAUCUGGCUUGAACCAAAGCCUGCUCUGGUUAUCAAGAAGAUAAGGCACUGUUCUCCAAAGCCAGCUUUGGAUUACCAAAGCCAGUUGUUGUGUUUUAUGGUGCUAAUUCAUGAUUCUUUUUGAAUUAUGUUCAUGGAGGCUGCCUUGUAAUCUGGAAAACAUAGAAAAUGCAUAGUUGUACUUUACAUUGUAUGUUUCUUGAAGCUCUUAUAAUUGUAUGUUUUUGUUGGCAGUCUUUUGGCUUAUUCUGUGGCCACUGAAAACUUGUGGAAUAUUCUGAUAUAGUAUGCGUGCUGGAAAUAGCUUGAUUAGUUCUUCAAAUUUAGGUUUCCUUUGGCAUUUAGAAUCCCUGGAUUUAAUGCUAAAGGCACAUGCUGAAAACACAUGGAUCCUAUUAAAGGCCACAAACAUAAUGGUCCUAGUGGGAGAUCUUUUUUCUUUUUUCCCCCCUCUAUGGCAGAGAAAUUUUUUCAUCUUCUACCAAACUCUUUCUCGGUCAUAUUGCUGCUUUGAUGAUUUCUCAGCUGUCCAUUGAACUUUGAUCCAUUUGCAGAUAAAUCUUUUAGUAUUAAUUGCAGUUAUCAUGGGAUUAAAAUAUUAAUGUGGAAUGGUUUUUACAGUGCAUCACAAAUACAAUGUUUAUUCCAUCCUUUCUAAUUUCGUUGAUCAGGUCUUUUCAGUGAGAGAGCUAUUUAUAUAAGAUAUCACCUAGUUGCAAUUUUUCAACUCCUUUAUGUAGAUUGGCACAUUACAAUUAAUAGGAUCACAAGCUAUAAGCAAAAAAUAAUAAUGAUAAUAAUAAGUAGAUCUUUUUCCUGAUGUGAUCAAAUUCAAUAUCAAAGUUCAUCAUUUAGUUUUUUUAAACCUUACUAGAAGGUAGAAAACAGUUCUUGAUUGAACUAGUGCUUUCUUUCUGCUGCUAGGCAGAUUUGUAUUUUGUGCGCUCAAUAAGUAUUAAUUUUAGCACGUGGAUAUGUCUACCAUAUGUAUCUAACCUGAUAGGAGAGUUUCAAUUGGUCAUCUUCUGCAACAGCAACAUCUGUUAAUAUUUAGGUUAAUUUGAUGGUUGAUCUUGAUAGCUAAAGAGAGAAUAUCUUAAAGCUAUAUACUAUUAUUGAAUAGAUUGUGAUUAUUUGUUAUGUAUAUUUACAGUUUUAAUAUAGCAUUAACUAAAGCCUUUUUAUAUAAUUUCUGUCGCUCUUGUUCUUGGGUCAUAUCGUUAUCCCCUAUCCUUGAACUCUAUCAUUCAACUGAUGCAAUGAAAUAACUAAACUUGUUUAAUAAAUGAAUUCAUUUAGGAGACAAGGAUUGAGAUAAUUAACUGCUUGAAAAGCUUGUCAAGCAUUCUACUGAAGUAGCAUUUAUAUCUAGACUUGUUCUCUUGUCAACUAAAGAGGAAAGGAAAUGUAAAGUGUAAAAAAACAAAAGCUUAUGUGGAUUGGAUUAAUAUGUAGACCAGGAAGGGUAGCUUUUGUUUGACUUUGGUUUCUUGAAGGGCACAUUUUAAAUUUAUUCCUAUAUCAAGUUUUAAGGAUUCUGAAAAACGGGAAGAAACCAUUAAUGAAGUAAAGGAAAUGGAAUUUUUUUGCACUUUGUGACAACUAGAAGUGAUAAUAUAUUGAUAUUUACUAUCCAUGAAUACCACAAAAUAUGAAUGUGUUCUUGGCAAGAACUUCUUUUGAAUGCUAUGUUGAUCUUGACACACUAUUAAAGUUCAAUUCGUACAAGAUGACAUUUGUUAAUCCAUGUGUCUUUGGCUAAUGUACCUGUCAUUCCCAAUGAUCCUCUGUCUUCUAUUAAGGUGAUUCUAUGAGCUUUUCUCAAGCUUGAUUUCUAUGUAUUUCAAUAGAUAUGUUUGUGCCCACCCCAGUCAGAUAGAAAUCUACUUGAAUUGUUUGAGUCUGAUUUCAGCGUGCUUUUGGUUACAAAAGGUAAUGCCAUACUUAAAAAUCCAGUUUUUUGAGCUUUUUCCUUAGACAGACACUUUUUUUUUUUGCUGUGUUCUUUCAGCAAUUGUAGUUGCUACGAUAAACCUUCUAAAGUUGGUUCAAAGUAGAUUUUAAAUCUGACAUGAUCAAUAUUCUUGGGUCAUUUUGGUCUCUAUUAACUUUUUUGCUCUCUAAAUUACUGAAAUCUUGUUAUUUUCUUUGUACAUUGCUAAGUUUGCUAAAUUAUGUGGAGUGCUCUGAGGUUGUGUUUACGAACUUGCGCGUUGUUUUAAGAAAAUCCAAACUGAUCACUCCUCUUGUCUGGUUUGAAAUCCUUUGAGUUGCUUAUUUGGUACCAUCAGAUGAUGUUUACUGAAUCAUUGAGUAAAACUGACAUACUCCUUUGCAAAGGAAAUAUUACUUCUGCAUCUAUAACUCUUUUGUCUUCAUUUUUUUUCCUGCCUUUUAAGCUCAAGAUCACUUAUUUGCUUUUUGUAACUUUUCUUUAGCAAAUUUAUAACAUUCAGAAACUCAUCUUAUAGUGAAUUUGCUGAAACUCAGUUCAGUUUCCGAAUGGUGUUUUUGUUAUUUUAUCCAUGUUAUUAUGGCUUUUUAGUCCGGUUCUGAUCUGGCUAUGUUUUUUAUGAAUCUAAUCUUGUUCAUGUCAGAAGGUACCACCAAUUGAAGUGAGGAAAAUAAUUGACUUUUGUCAAACUCCAAACUAGUCUUAUAGACUUAUACAAUGAAUUCUGAAUGGUCAAAGAUAGGCGUACAGCCACUGGAUAAGACAUAUUUGAUUUAAGCCAUUUUCUGAAUUCUGAAUUUUUAUUCUUUCUUGUCAAUAAGUUUUGUCGUUUUUGGCAUCAUUGUCUAAGUUUCAUCUUAGAGGCUUGUUUCUUGUAUUUUCCUCUGAUUAGGUUCUGAAUGGUUCAAUUGGUACUUGCUAAAACAGUGUCUGAUUCCGUUUCCUUUUACUAUGUGCACAGAAAUGGCACUGUCUUCUCAUUUCAAAUUCCACAUCAGUCCAAAGCACAAGGAGUUUAUUUGGGUGUUGUUGAACGAUAUGGGAGUUCAUGACCUUUGACCAAUUCACACGGGAUUUUCUGUAUUUUACCCUUUUAGUAGCCAUUCCCCGAAAUAGAAUCCUUUGAUCAUCAAGACCUGAAGCAGCCGCUAAUCAACCAUGGCUGCUACCAU
Molecule: long non-coding RNA, 60963 nt
Filed under: Coffea arabica (coffee)
Lineage: Eukaryota; Viridiplantae; Streptophyta; Magnoliopsida; Gentianales; Rubiaceae
Description: long non-coding RNA (CARA_LNC004701)
Source: RNAcentral